UUUUGGUUUCCUUUUGCUGGUGAGUUUGGGCUUAGCUUCGGCGGCCCGAUCUCUUCUUUCUUACGAUAUUCCUCCUCAUCGAUCUGGAUACGAUAAUUAUGAUCAUCCUGUAGUUAACCCUAAAGUAGGAUACGAACAUGACCGUCGUGAUGGAUACUACCAUGACCGUGACCAUCAUGAUGCACCUUAUGGUGGUGGUGCUGGUGGAGGAUAUGGAGCUGGAGCUGGAGCUGGCUCAUCUCUUGGAGGCUCUGGAUAUGGAAGUGGAGGAGGUGGUGGUUCUGGAUAUGGAGGUGUAGGAAACCACGAGGUUGGUUAUGGUAGUGGUGGAGGGGGUGGAUAUGGAGCUGGAGUUGGCUCUGACCUUGGUGGUAGCGGAUACGGAAGCGGUGGUGGUGGAGGCAGUGGAGGAGGAUACGGUGAUUUAGGAGGACGUGGAAAAGGGUACGGUAGCGGUGGAGGUGGAGGAAGUGGAUAUGGAGGUAGAGGAGACCAUGGAGUUGGUUAUGGAAGUGGUGGAGGUGGAGGAUAUGGAAGUGGAGUAGGUGGUGGUGCAGGAGUGGUAGACCAUGGUGUAGGUUAUGGGAGUGGAGGAGGAGGUGGGGCUGGUAGUGGUUAUGGUGGUUCCAAAGGAUAUGGAGGUGGAAGCGGCGGCGGUGGGGGAGCCGGUUAUGGUGGUGGAGCACAUGGAAGUGGAUAUGGAAGUGGUGGUGGAGCUGGAAGUGGUGAAGAAGGAGGAUAUGAUGGUGGAUAUGCACCGUAAACAAAGAAAAGAAAAGAAAAAGCUCAAAGUUUUAUGGCUAAAAUGAGAAUGCUUACCCUAAUAUCAUCAAUGUGUGUGUGUGUUAGCAAAAAAAAAAAAUAAAAGAAUUUGGGUAAGAAAUGUUAUAUUAAUUAUCUUUGAGCUUUUAAGUAAUUUGAAUGUAAUAUAAUAUAUAUAUAAAAAAAGCUAAUCCAUGUGUUCCAAAGUGAACCAACAUGAAGUAUAUUUUCUCCCUUUGUCAUCAUGAUCAUCUUAAACUUGUGGUUAUUAUGUGGGCUCUCAUUAUUAUUCCAAGAUAGCAACGUCGGGAUAUUCAAAUAUUUUUCAUAUGUAAUGUCUUAAGACUAAAUCACUAUGAUCUAUAUGCUUUAAUUAAGUUCAAAACUAUUUUGGAAGCAUUAUGAUUAAUAUAUUGAUUACUUAAAUACUAUUAUAUGGUUUUCAAGGUAACUUGAUGUUGUUAAUAAAAGAAAUCUUUAAUAUUUAAUCAGUCCUUUCUCUUAAAAUUUAGUAAAAAUAAAUACUAAAAUGGUAUGAUGUUUUAUGGUUGGAUUUGGGGUAUGUGUUUUGGCUUGUCCCUCUAGUUGUGACUUGUUCAAAAUAAGUGUACAAUCAAAUUCACUUGGGUUAUUAAAGACAAUUGAUAAACAAAAAUUGCCAAAACGAUAGAGCAUAACUAUUUAAUCGGUAUAAAACUUGUACAAUCCAUUAAUCAUAAUAUACUUUUUCUAAUUGAUCUCUAAUUGAUCGUACAUACUAGUUAGUGUCGAUAAAAAACUCAAUUUGACGUAUAAAUAUUUGUUUGUUGUAAAUGAACAUCUAAGUAUAUUCUUGAUUAAUUAUUCUUAUACUAAGAGUAACAUUGACCCCUCUAUUCUUUAGUAUUUGGUUAAAAGAAUAAAAAAUUAGUAAGUGAUGAAUCUUAGUGUGCUAUAGGUUGAUCAACCAAUUAAAAUUAGUCGUUUCAAGCAAUACUUUCGAAAAAAUUCAUUAAAUAGGAGUUAUUUAAACUAUCAACCCUGAGUUUUUAUACAUUACAAUAAAUUUAAUCUUUGAUGUCGGUCAAAAACUAAUAUAUAGGAGUACAAUAUAGAUCACCAGAUCGAUAUGGAAGACAAUGUUAUGGAAGAUGUUCAAUGUUAAUCACUUUUAUGUUCGUUUUGGUCUUGGCAUUAUAAAUAAUUUAAAUGGUAGUUUUUGCUCACACUACAAAUGUGUUAGACUAUUAGUCAUCAAAUAGUUUGAAUUCCUUGUAAAAAAAAUUAGUUGAAACAAAAAUAAAUAAUUAUCUUUGCAUUAAAAUAAAAUAAAAUAAAUAAAAUAGAUUUUUUUGUGAAUAUUUUGGUCAGGUGUUCUAUUUUUUAUAAUUUCCCAUAAAAAAUAUGUGUAAUAAGUUAUUUAAAAUACUAAUAGUAUUAAUUAGUUUACUUAAUAAAUCAAUUAUAUCUCUAAAUGAUAUUUUGGUAGAUUUAAAAAUAUUUUGAUUCAUUUUGCUAUAUUUGAAAAAGAAACCAUAAAAUUCUACUUCAUAUUCGCAAUAGAUCAUGGUAAACUUAGAUAGGCAUCUAUUAUUUAUAUAUAUGGUGAUAGAUACUUAUGUAUCUAUAUCCAAGCCCAUCAUCUAAAUAUUUUCAAAUGGUUUUCAAUUGAAAACAAAUUUCUCAAUAAGUAAUUAAAAAUUAGGUUUUUAUUCACUAAUAAUUAUUAUUUAAAUGUGAACAAAUAAAGUUUAGCUCGUAUAUAAUGGGUCAGUAGGUACACUCGGAUAUCUCCACUAGAUGGACACCCCUUAGCACCCUCAUUAUCUCCGUUUCAUUAAUAUAAAAAAUCGAAUUGAAUACACGAGAAGUAAAGAGAACAACCCAAACAAAAAACAAAGAACUAGAGACAAGCCCAAAACAAGUACAAACAAUUAGAAAGCAUGAAGAAAUUAGUGCUUUAAACCCCUAAACCGCAAUGUUACUUAACAAAUAAAAUUGUUAUUUAAAAGUUUGAAGUUAUUAUUGAGUUUUAUUUUAGCAAAUUAAUCAUCUCUUAAAUUAAAAAUCUCAAACAUACAUGGAAGAUAAGAUCAAUUAAGCACAUGUUGGAUGAAUUUUGUUCGAAUAAAAAUUAAAACAACUUAUUGUUAUCAACUUAUAAGUUAUAUAUAUGAUGAUGGUGGUGCAGAGGUGAAAACUUAGUUUGAGAUCUCUCCCUACAUCUACUAUGCUUUUACGUUCUAAUGUAUUUUGUGGUAAAAAAAUCAAUUAUAAACUUUUAAGAAAAAUUUUCAUAUGUUAUUAUUUUUUCUCUAAAUUCUAAACUAGCCAGGUUAUCAACAAAACAAAUACCACUAGAGUUUAAGGGAUUAGGAAGCAUAUAUGAAUAUCUCAACUUGGUUAACACGUCGUUUUUAAACAUUUCUCAUCAGGUUGCUGUUUCAAAAGUGAUGCACUGAUGUGAAGAAACAUAUAGGAGAAAAGUGAGAUGGAAAGUUAGUAUAUUGGACAGAGUACAUAGUACAUAGUAGGUUUAUUAAUUAAUUUAUCCAAAUGAUAAUCUCAUUACCAAGCACUAUGUGAUUUAGAUAUGAAUAAAAUGUGAUCAUUUUUCCACCACUAUUACAUAGCAAAUGGGAAAACAUCUCAUUGUGGUUUGAUAUUUUAAAAAACAAUUAUGGUAAUGCAAGUCGUCUCAUAUCCCAUAAUAUUAUCUCAGUCUCAUGGCGACUGAUACAAAAGGACAAAACUAACUUCAUUAAAAUAUGUUCUCUCCUUCCUACACUUUUUAGGUAUAUAUCAUUCAUAUAUUAAUCACUGCAAUUGGUUAGGUGGACUACAAAAACAUAGAUAUAGUCCGAGAUAAAAUUAAGUACGGUUAUAUUUUACGAGACUUUUGAUGUGUUUGAUUACAUUUUCAUGUGUUUCUUUUAGAAAAUAAGUUAUUUUGAAAAAACUAAAGUAUUUUAAACAAUUUUUAGAACAAUCAAUUUCUUGAAAAAUAUUUUUUUCUUAAUUCAAUCUAAGAUGGAUCCUCAAAAUAUUUGAGGGUAGUUCUUUUAUAAAAGUAUUUACACUAGGUUGGUUUAUGAAGUAAAAUAUUGAUCGGUAAAUUCAAGUUUUAAAUUAGAAAAAUUGAAUAUUUUUAAAAAUAGAAGAAUUGGCUAACUAUUUACAACUCAUACCAAAAUUUUAAUACAAAUCCAAAGUAUCUAUUUUUUAUUUUAUUAUUAUUAUUAUUUUUUGCUAUAGGAUGUAAAUACUAUCUGUUUUCUUGUAAAUUUCUCUUACAAUCCUCUACGAGAAAGUCUUAAUUUUUAUAUUUAUGAUUUAUAUUAUAAUAUAAUUAUUUGGAACCAUAUAAUAAAUAAAAGGAAAAUUGUAAAACAUAACAUUUGACAAAAUAUCUUCGUAGAAAAAUUUGUUGUGUAAUCAAUUUUGAGGUUUUGUUAUAUGGAGCGUAAAUAUUUUGUCAAAUUUUCUAUUUGUGAAAAAAAAAACUUAUAGGUAAUUUGAAAGGUAAGUGAUCUUGUUUAAGAUCCAAAUUUCUUUUAUGAAAGUUUAAUUUAGAAUACAUACGAGAAAAAUAGAUUAAUCUAGAAUGAUAAAUGUAAGAUAGGUUUGGGAAGUACCAAUAAAUUUUAGGCAUGUGAUAGACUAUAACUGUGAAGAUAUAUAGUCUAUUGCUAUCUUGAAUGGCUCAUUCUUGUUUGAAAAUGACCUUAUUUAAAACACAACUUUUUUAUAAAAGAAAAUCCCUUGCAUCAUUCAAACAAUCUUACAAGAUCGUAUUAGUGGAAGAUGAGAUAGAAUUCUGACAUGUGUAUUAUUAGUAUACUUGAAUAGUUUCUUAUCUAACUUUUGAGCAAGUAGUGGAGAAGCUGAUCAUGAACCCUAAACCCACCGUAUCAUUCACUAUAUAAAGGAGAUCACUACAUGCAUUCUAAGGCAUCCCUUCUCCAAAUGGCUAUCUUUAGAACUUUCUCUUUCGGUUUUCUUUUGUUGGUGAGUUUAGGCUUAGCUUCUGCGACCAGAAGUCUUCUCACCUAUGAUCCACCACAUCACUCUGUAUAUGAUGAUCAUAACACUAAAGUAGGUUACGGACGUGACCAUCAUGAUCAACCUUAUGGUGGUGGUGUUGGUGCUAGUGGAGGAUAUGGAGCCGGAGCUGGCUCUGGAUAUGGAGGUGUAGGAUACGAACAUGACCAUCAUGAUGGAUACGAACGUGAUCAUGAUCGAUCUUAUGGUGGUAGUGCUGGUGGAGGAUAUGGAGUUGGAGCUGGCUCCUCUCUUGGAGGCUCUGGAUAUGGAAACGUAGAUCAUGGGGUUGGUUAUAGCAAUGGUGGAAGUGGUGGAUAUGGAGCUGGUGUUGGCUCUGACCUUGGUGGUAGCGGAUAUGGAAGCGGUAAUGGCGGAGCAAGUGGAAGUGGAAAUGGUGAUUUAGGAGGACGUGGAAAAGGCUACGGUCGCGGUGGUGUUGGAGGAAAUGGAUAUGGAGGUAGAGGAGACCAUGGCCGAGUAGUAGGCCAUGAUGAUGUAGUUUAUGGUGGUUCCAAAGGAUAUGGAGGUGGAAGUGGCGUCGGUGGGGGAGCUGGUUAUAGCGGUGGAGCAAGUGGAAGUGGAUAUGGAAGUGGUGGUGGAGCUGGAAGUGGAAGUGGCUAUGGCGGAAGUGGUGAAGAAGGAGGAUAUGAUGGUGGAUAUGCACCUUAAAUAAAAGGGGCUAAAACAUCAUCUAAAAGCUUAUCGUUAAAACGAUAAUACUUACCUAAAUAUCAAUGUUUGUUAGCAAAAAUAAAGAAUUUAGGUAAGAAUGUUAUGUUCCUCUUUUGAAUUUUAGUAACUUCAAUGAAUGUGAUAUUAUAAAAACUAGCUGUUUCAUGGGGUUCUAAAGACCAACAAACAUGCAUGAAAUACUGAGUUAAUACAACGUACGCCAUUCCAAACGUGCUAUUUUAUGGAUUCCAAAGUUGACUUUGAACUAAGGACUAAAUAAUCCUUUAACACCUUCUAAACACAAAUUAUUUCACAGACGUCAAGAUCAGUUAAUCAAGUUAAAACUUAAUAGGUCAAAUUCAUCAUUCCAAAAUGACUUGUAGAAAAAUUUUGAGACUUAGUUCGAGUAUGUUAAAUUCUAAUGUUACGAAGUUUUCUUAACAAAAUUGAGAAGGAGGUUGGGAUGGUGGAUAUGCACUCAAAAAUUUCAUCUCAAAAGAGAAUUGAGAAACAUACUUUUCAAGUAACAAACCCAAUAUUCAUAUUAAUUGGGCAACAAAAGUAAGGAAAUAGGGGUAAAAAGAGAACAUUGUUUUCUAAAUAAUCUAUGUCGAGGUUUGCUUCUUGGCCAUGAAAUUCGAACCAAUUAUUCAAUGAUAAGCAAAUUUGGAUUAAGUAUGCAUGUGUAAUGUGACAAAAUUAUUCAACCACAUUCACGUUAUUUUGCUUUCCUAAUCAUAUUUAUGAAAUAAGAUGGUUUCAUCUUUCAAAAUCAAUACACAAUUACAAAAGUAGUAAUACUUCUAUCUUAUAAACAAUGUUGAUCUCUUGAAUUUUCCAUGUAUGGAAUUAUCAACAUUCUCCGCAUAUUGUUCUAGGUUAUUUUUUUAACCAGUGUAAUCAACCUCAAACAAAAACAAAAGUGACAAAACCAAGAAAAUAACAAAAUUUUCACUUAAAUAAAAGAGGGAAAAAAAAUAGCACAUCCUAUAAGCCAAAAUAAGGGCGAGGGGUUUAGGGUUUAGGGUUAUUAGACCAAGACUACCAAAAUGUCUAAUGACUUUUAUAACGAAACAUCUAGUUUAGAUUGAUACAUAUGAUAUGUAGCAUCUUCACAGCAUCCAAGAUCAAGAGUCGAUAUAUUAUCAUGAAAAGAAAGUACAAAAGGGAAGUUAGGGAAAAACUUGGAGUCAACGUUAAGAGAACCAUUAAAAGUUUUAGAAGUUCAAUUAAUAUUUGUAAAAUUUUAAGAGCUAAAUUUUUAUAAUCCAACGUUUGAGGUCUAGUAAUUGCAAUUGACCAUCAUACUUCAGGGAUAAUUUUUGAAAAUUUCCUUUUCUAUUAUUAAAUUAUCAAGAAAAAAAAGUUUAAUGACGGUCAAAAUAAUCCCUGGCGUCCAUAUAAUAAUUUUCAAUAACAUUUCACGACACUAAAAAAAAUUGGAACUUUGCUCACAUUUUUCUAAGAAACGUAAAUAUUUUGUCAACUUUACUAUAUAUAUAUUAUUGUUACUCUUUUAAAAACUUAAGUAAUUUUGAUUCGACCAAUUUUUUUUGCUAUCAACUACAAUUGUUAAAAAAUAUAUAUAUACGAAAAAAAAUGGUUAAUUUUCAUUCACAAAAUAUUUAAAAAAGUAAAAUUUUAAAUUUGUCUCGUAUCUUUUGGAAUAAGGUUUGUCUUUAAUUAAGGAAAUUUAAAAGUUGCUAAAACAUAGCUAAAUUAAACAAAAGUUACUUUUUUAAAGAAAAUUUUUUAAAUAACAAAAUUAUUAAAAAUAUAAUUAAAUUAGAAUUUUUGAAUCUAUUAUUGAUAUAAUUAAGAAAAGUCUAUCAACAUAUAUCAAUUCUAAUAUUUUAUUAUAUUUUAAUUCAUUUGGUUAUAUUUAACAACUCAUUCCCACACAAACUAUAAUUCAAAUUAAAAACAUAUUUGAACAAAUAUUUUGUAUAAUUUAAGUGAUGAAUCGCACUAAUAUUGUUAAAAUGUGUUUAAAAUGUGAUACUUUUCCCACCAUAUUUUAUAGCAAAUGGCAGAUAAUUUAAUGUUUCUUUGAAGCAAGAAUUAGGCAAAGAAGCAUAUAUAUAUAUAUAUAUAUAUAUAUAUAUAUAUAUAUAAUAUAUAUAUAAUAUGUAAUUAAAUUUUAUAUUAUAGUUAUGCAAAAUCGUUUCAUAAGCCACUUCAUCUCUCUCUAUUUCAUGGCAUCAAGUAAACAAAAAGGGAAAAAGGGAAAAAGAGACCUAAUAAAAUAUGUGUUCUUUAAUUGGUGGAUUUUUAAUUAGCAUUAUUAAUUAAUCAAUCAUGUAAAUAUCCUACAAAGAAUAUUUGUUCUUAAGAUAAUUCAUUGCAUGAUGAAUCAAAAUUUUAGGUUGGGUGUUCCUGUAUACUUAAAAACAUUAUUGCAUUACCAAAUUAAAUUUAUACAAACCAAACGAUAUCAUUUUGUUCGUAUUAAGUUCGUUUAAGUUUAGAUGGUAUAUGAAAGUUGGUUUGUUAUGUUUAGGUUUAUUAAACAACAUUGUAUUUAGACGAUAGUGUAAACUUUAAGUUGUUAAACAUGUGUUUUAUCUUAGUCUAAUGUCGUCUAAUACAAAUAUAUUAUGAUACUUUUUAAUAUUUAAAAAUAUUUUUAGAAGUUUUAUAAAUUAAAAUAAUUUUUCUAAAAAUUAAGUUUCAUCAUUUUUAAGAGGAGAAAAGACACCCUAAACAUAAAUUAAAGAAAAUAGAAUGAUAUUGUAUUAAUUACAUAAAUUUAAUCAAAAAUUAAGAACUAAAAAUAAAAUUGUUAUCAAAAUGAAAAUUCAUUUUAACAUUCAAACCAUCCAAAAAAAAGAACAUCUAAUUACUCUAUUGUAACAGAAGUUUUAUCCUCUUAAGAAAAAAAUAGUUUAAUGUUAAAAGAGUAUACAAAACGUGUUAAUAAGUACACAACUCAAUUAGCAUAAAGCUUAAAUUUUAUUUAGAUCAAGACUCAAAUCUAUGAGAUCACAGGAUAUUGCAAAUUUAGGAUUUUAGGUUAUCGUUUAAAGUUCUAAAAUAUUGCAAAAUGGUGCAAGUGGGAAGAUGGGAUCCAAAUCAAGUAUGGAUAUGAUUUAGUUCCAAUUAUAAUUUAAGGUUAUAGUUUAAUGAUUUAGUUACAACACUUUAGUGUUUUGCCUCUUGAACUUCCCUUAAGCUAUAAUCCAUAAUUAAUAAUGUUUUUGAGCACGUGCCUUCUCUUUAAUUGCCACUAAGGUACCACACUAUAGAGAAGAGCUAAUGAAUCCUUGUUUUCUAUAUAAGGAGAUGGAUCAAUGCAUUCUAAGCAUAUACUCCUAUCCAUGGCUAUUUCUAGAGUGUUGUGCAUUGGCUUUCUUCUUUUUGUGGGGUUAGGGUUAGCUUCGGCUGCCCGAACUCUUCUUGAUUAUGAUCCACGUGCACGUCGUUAUGAUUACGAUCGUCCUACUCCAAGAGUAGGAUACGAUCCAAGCCAUCGUGAUCAAUCCUAUGAUAAUGUAUAUGGUGGAAGCUCUAGCAGAGGAUAUGGAGCUGGAGACUCUGCUCUUGGAGGUUCGGGACGAUAUGAAGGUGGUGGAGGACGUGAUUACGGACAUGGAGGCCGAAAUGAUGAUCGUGGUGUUGGAUAUGGAGGUCGAAAUGAUGAUCGUGGUGCUGAAUAUGGAGGUAGAAAUGAUGAUCAUGGUGCUGGAUAUGGAAGUCGAAAUGAUGAUCGUGGUGUUGGAUAUGGAAGUCGAAAUGAUGAUCGUGGUGUUGGAUAUGGAAGUCGAAAUGAUGAUCGUAGUGUUGGAUAUGGAGGCCGAAAUGAUGAUCGUGGAGUUGGAUAUGGUAAUGGUGGUGGAUAUGGAGGUGUAGGAGGACAUGGUGAUGGUUAUGGUAACAAUGGUGGUGGAAGCUAUGGAGAUCGUUAUGGCCCUUCUCUUGGAGGUUCAGGAUAUGGAAGUGGAGGAAAAGGAAGUGGCAAUGGCUAUGACGAUCAUUCUCGUGGAAAUGGUGCGCGUGACAAUAGCUAUGGAGAUUCUCAUGGACAUGAAGGACGUGACAGUGGAUAUGGAAGUGGUGGAGGAGUUAGUGGAGGCUAUGGCAAUGGAGGAGUUCAUGGAGGGGAGCAUGAUAAUAGCAAAGGAAGUGGAGAAGAAGGGGGUAGGGACGGUGGAUAUGCUUUCAAAAAUUCCAUCUCAAAGGAGAAUUGAGAACUCUUUUUCAAGUAAUGAACCCAAUAUCAUAUUAUGUUAACAAAAAAAAUAAAGAAUUGGGUAUAAGAGAAUGUUGUUUUCUAAAUUUAUGUUGAAUUUGUUACCAACGAAUGUCAAAUUCGAAUCAAUGGGUACAAUGAUAAUCAAAUUUAGGUUAUGUUUAUUGUGAUAAAUUUAUUGCACUCUUAUUUGUUUUGUUUCUCUAUAUAUAUUUUUUCUAUAUAUCCAUAUUAAUAUGGGUGGUUUUGGACCGAAGAAAAAAACAUCAUCUAAAAGUUUUUCGUUAAAAUCAUAUAAUUCUUACCUAAUAUCAAUGUUUGUUAGCAAAAAGUAAAAGAAUUUAGGUAAGAAUGUUAUGUUUCUCUUUGAAUUUUAGUAACUUUUUCAAUGAAGUUGUGAUAUUAUAAAAUCUAGUCAUUUCAUGAAGUUCUAAAGGCAAACAAGCAUGCACCAAAUACUCUAGCUAAUACAACGUACGCCAUUCCAAACGUGCUAUUUUAUGGAUUUCAAAGUUAAACUUUGAAACAAUCUUUUAAUACGUUCUAAACACAAAUUAUUUAACAUAAAUCAUGGGCUAAUCAAGUCCAAACUUAAUAGAUCAAACUCAUCAUUCCAAAUGUCUCCUACAUAACUUGUAGAAAAUUUUAAGAUUUAGUUCGAAUAUAUUAAAUUCGAUGUUCCAAGUUGUUUUAACAAAAUUGAAAAACUUCACCAUUAUUUUGAGAUUUUUUUUUAUGAUUACAUCCUUUAAUUUAUUGAAUAAUUAUAAACAAUCUUGGUUUCAAGAGAAUUAUAUUUACGCAACGAUCAUUUGCAGAUGUUCAAAAUAUUUCUACCCUCAAUUAUACUUACAGAAAAACAUUUGUUGCACUUAUCUCUUCCAAACCAUAAUAGUUUUUAGGAAAAGAAAAAAGAGACAUGUUUAUGAAAGAAAAUUAGGCUACGAUGCUCAUUGUCGUGGAUAUGGAGCGCGUGACAACGGGUAUGGGAGGUGGAGGAGUUAGGGGUGGCUAUGGUGGUGGUAGCAAAUUGAAGAGAUGGUUAUGGUAAAUAGAGAGGUGUUCAUGGAGGAGAAUAUGAUAAUGGCAAAGGAAAUGGAGAAGAAGGAGGUUGUGAGGGUGGAUAUGCACUCAAAAUUAAUUCCAUCUGAUCAAAAGAGAAUUGAGAAACUUUUUUUUUUUUUUUGUAAGUAAUGAACCCAAUAUUCAUAUUAAUUGCACAACAAAAAAUAAAGAAAUUGGGUAAGAGAGAACGUUGUUUUCUAAAUCUUAUGGGUGGAAGGUUUGCAUGUUCGUGAAUGUAAAUAUCAAAUCAAUUUUUUAAUGAUAAGCAAAUUUGGAGUAAGUGUGCAUUUAUACUGUGACAAAUUGAAUCAACCACAUAUACGUUAUUUUGUUUUUCCAAUGAUAUUUAUUAUAUAAGAGGAUUUUAUCUCAAAAUCAAUCAACAAAUACGUGAAUAGUAAUACGUCAAUUUUAUAAACAAUAAUGAUGAUCUCUUGAAUUUUUCAUGUGAAAUUAUCAACAUUCUCCAUGUAUUGUUCUCGGUUAUUAUUUUUGUAACCAAAGUGUAAUCCUCCAAAAAAAUACAAAAUUGACAACCAAGAAAAUAACUAAAUUUUCAUUUAAAAAGAAAAAAGAGAAUAGCAUAUCAAAUAUCAAAUAGCCAUGCAAAAUAAGCUUAACUAGGGGAGAGGGAGUCUAUAAGUCAAAUUGCAUAGUCUAAACCAAGGCUAACAAAUGAAUGAUGAUCCUACGAUAAAAUAUCUUAAGUAGAUUGAUACAUAUGAUAUGUAGCAUCUUCACCGCAUCUAAGAACAAGAGUCGAUGUGUUAUCACAAAAAUAAAAUACAAAAGGGAAGUUUGGGAGAAAAUUAGAGUUAUAAUAAUGUUGAGAGAGAUCCAAUUAAUUAAUACUCUUAAAAUUUUAAGAGAUAAAUUUUUAUAUUUGAGAAUUUAAAUGUGUAAUUGCGACUAAUUAACCAAUCGUGUUGAUUUUUGCAAUUUACCUUUUUUUAUUAAAUUUUCAAGAAAAAAAUAUUUAAUGACGAUCAAAAUGAUCCAUGACGUACAUACAAUUAUUGUCAAACAUUCCAUGUUACUAAAAGAAAAUUGAAACUUUCUCCAACGUUAUAAAUAUUUUAUCCACUUUACUAUUUUUUUUAUUAUUUCCCUAAUUUUGAUUCAAUCAAUUUUCUAGCUAUCAACUACCAUUCUUUAAAAAAAAAUCAAAUAUACAAAAAUAAAAAAUUGUCAAUUUUCGUCCAAAAAAAUUUUAAAAUAAAAUUUGGAAUUUGGAAUAUGGUACCUUUUGGAAUAAGUUUUAAAGCCUUUGAUUAAAAAAAAAAAGUUGCUUCAACCAAAAUCAUUGUAAAUAAUGUUGAAAUUAUAAAAUUAUUAAAAAUAUUUAUAAAUAUAGACAAACUAAAAUUUUAGAAUCUACCGUUGAUGUAACUAAUAAACGUAUAUCAGCGUCUACCGAAUAUAUUCUAAAAAACGGUAAUAUUUUAUAAAUAUUUUAGUAUGUUUACCCUUUCACAAACUUAAUUAAAAUUAUAAUCCAAAUCAAAACCUAUCCAAACAAAUAUUUGGUGUAACUUAAGGGAUGAAUCGCACUAAUAUGACUCAAACAUAUUUUGAGAAACGUGUUUAAAAUGUGAUAAAUUUUUCCACAAUAUUUUAUAGCAAAUGGCAAAUAAUUUAAAGUUUCUUUGAAGCAAGAAUUAGGCAAAGAAGCAUGUAUAUAUAUACAUAUAAUGUAAUUAAAAUUUAUAUUAUAGUGAUGCAAAAUCGUUUCAUAAGCCACUUCAUCUCUCUCUGUUUCAUGGCAUCUUAAGUACACAAAAAGAGAAAAAGGGAAAAAGAGACCUAAUAUAAUAUGUGUUCUUUAAUUGGUGGAUUUUUAUUUAGCAUUAUUAAUUCAUCAAUCACCAAGAAUAUUUAUUCUCAACAAAGUUAUUGAAUGAUAUUAAAUUUACAAGAACUAAAUGAUAUAUCAUUUCGUUUCAUAUUAAAUUUUUGUAAGUUUAGAUAAUUUAUGAAAGUAGGUUUGUUAUGUUUAGGUUAACUAAACACAUACAUGUUAAAUUGAAUAUGUGUUUUAUCUUGGUCAAUUGUGCAAAGUGGAUCCGUGGCGCAAUGGUAGCGCGUCUGACUCCAGAUCAGAAGGUUGCGUGUUCGAUUCACGUCGGGUUCAAUGUCCAUUUUUUAUUUUAGUCAUUUGUGAUCACAAAUAAAUUUAAACCUCAUAAUCAUUGCAUUUUAGGUUAUUGUGUAAAGUUAUAAAACAUUACAAAGUGGAACAAGUAUUGAUAUGAUUUCGUUCCAAUUAUAAUUUAUUUUUAUAGUUUAAUGAGACAUACGAAAAAGCCAACACUUUAGUAUUUUGCCUCUUGAACUUUACUUAAGUUAUAUAUAAAAAAUUAAUAAUGUUGUUGACCACAUGCCUCCUCUUUAAUUGCCACUAAGGUACUACACUAUAGAGAAGAGCUAAUGAGUCCUUGUUUUCUAUAUAAGGAGAUGGAUGAAUGCAUUCUAAGCAUACAUUCCUAUCCAUGGCUAUCUCUAGAGUGUUGUGCAUUGGCUUUCUUCUUUUUGUAGGUUUAGGGUUAGCUUCGGCUACCCGAACUCUUCUUGAUUAUGAUCCACGUGCACGUCGUUAUGAUUACGAUCAUCCUACUCCAAGAGUAGGGUACGAUCCAAGUCAUCGUGAUCAAUCAUAUGAUAAUGCAUACAGUGGAAGUUCUAGUAAAGGAUAUGGAAUUGGAGACUCUACUCUUGGAGGUUCUGGACGAUAUGGAGGUGGCAAAGGACAUGAUUCCGGAUAUGGAGGUCGAAAUGAUGAUCGCAGUACUGGAUAUGGAGGUCGAAAUGAUGACCGCAGUGAUGGAUAUGGAGGUCGAAAUGAUGACCGCGGUGCUGGAUACGGAGGUCGAAAUGAUGAUCGCGGUGUUGGAUAUGGAGGUCGAAAUGAUGAUCGCGGUGUUGGAUAUGGAGGUCGAAAUGAUGAUCGUGGAGUUGGAUAUGGUAAUGGUGGUAGAUAUGGAAGUGUAGGAGGACAUGGUGAUGGUUAUGGUAACAAUGGUGGUGGAAGCUAUGGAGAUCGUUAUGGCCCUUCUCUUGGAGGUUCAGGAAAAGGAAGUAACAAUGGCUAUAACGAUCAUUCUCGUGGAAAUGGAGGACGUGACAGUGGCUAUGGAGAUUCACAUGGACAUGAAGGACGUGAGAGUGGAAAUGGAAGCGGUGGAGGAGUUAGUGGUGGCUAUGGUAAUGGAGGAGUACAUGGAGGAGAGUAUGAUAAUAGCAAAGGAAGUGGAGAAGAAGGGGGUAAUGAUGGUGGAUAUGCUGUCAAAAAUUCUAUCUCAAAGGAGAAUUGAGAAUUCCUCUUUUUCAAGUAAUGAACCCAAUAUCAUAUUAUGUUAACGAGAAAUAAAGAAAUUGGGUGAGAGAAUGUUGUGUUUUAAAUUUAUGUUGAAUUUUCUUUGAAUAAUUCGAAUCAAUAGGUACAAUGAUAAUCAAAUUUGGAUUAUGUUUGUUGUGACAAAUUGACUGUACCCUAUUUUGUUAUAUUUCUCUAUAGAUUUUUUUAUAUAUAUCCAUAUUAAUACGGGUGAUUUUGAACUGAAUCAAAUGACAUAAACAAAGAGAAAAAAAUAUUGUCUAAAAGUUUAUUUGUUAACACCUUAUAAUUCUUAGUAACUUUUUCAAUGAAUGUGUGAUAUUAUAAAAAUAAGUUGUUUCAUGGGAUUCCAAGGAUGGACAAAAGAUGCAUAAAAUACUCUAACUAAUAAAAUGUACACCAUUCCAAACGUGCUAUAUUUUAUGAUUUUCAAAGUUAAACUUUGAAACAAUCUUUUAACACCUUCUAAACACAAAUUAUUUAUCAUACAUGGUGGGCUAAUCAAGUCCAAACUAAUUAAUAGGUCAAACCCAUCAUUCCAAUUGUCUGCUACACGUAACUUAUAAAAAUUUUCAAGAUUUAGUUUGAAUAUUUUAAAUUCAAUGUUUCAAGUUUUUUUAACAAAAUUGAAAAAACUUCACCAUUUUCUUGAGAUUUUCUUAUUAUGAUUACAUCCUUUAAUUUGUUGAAUAAUUAUGUACGAUCUUGUUGCAAGAGAAUAAUAUAUAUAUAUUAUUAUAUUAUAUAUAUACAUACAUUCAUUCAUUUAGGUUUAUGUGGUUCAAAAUCUUUCUACCCUCAAUUAUACUUAAAAAGCAUUGGUUGCACUCUUCUCUUCCAAACCAUGAUAGUUUUUAGGAAAAAAAAGAAACAUGUUGAUGAAAGAGAAUUAGACUACGAUGAUCAUUCUCGUGGAUAUGAAGCGCGUGACAACGGAUAUGGGAGUGGUGGAGGAGUUGGUGGUGGCAGCGAAAAAGGUGGUUAUGGUAAUAGAGAGGUGUUCAUAAAGGAGAAUAUGAUAAUCGGAAAGGAAAUGGGGAAGAAGGAGGUUCUAAUGGUAGAUAUGCACUCAAAAUUAAUUUCAUCUAAUCAAAAGAGAAUUGGAAACUUUUUUUUAAGCAAUGAACCCAAUAUUCAUAUUAAUUGGGCAACAAAAAUAAAGAAAUUGGGUAAGAGACAACGUUGUUUUAUAAAUCUUAUAUGUCAUUAGUUUACUUUUUGGUGAAAGUAAAUAAUUUGGAUUAAGUAUGCAUUUGUAUUAGAACAAAUUGAAUCCAACCAUAUACACAUUAUUUUACUUUUUUAAUAAUAUUUUUUAUUAAAUUAGAUGGUUUUAUUUUAAAAUUAAUUGAUAAUUACGUGAAUAGUAAUAUGUAUAUCUUAUAAACAAUAAUGUUGAUCUCUUCAAUUUUUUAUAUGCAGAAUUAUCAACAUUCUCCACCUAAUGUUCUAGGUUAUUUUUGUAAUCAAAGUGUAACUCUCAGACAAAAACAAAAACGAAAAAACCAAGAAAAUAACUAAAUUUUCAUUUAAAAAGAGAAAAAAGAAUAGCAUAUCAAACAUCCAUCCAAAAUAAGCAUAAUUAAGGGAGAGGGGGCCUAUACGUCAAUUGCUUAGUCUAAACCAAGACUAACAAAUGCCUUGUCCUAUGAUAAAAUAUUUAUAUUUCAAAGAUACAUAUAUUUUCACUACAUCCAAGAUCAAGAGCCAUUGUAUUAUAACAAAAGAUUGUACAAAAGGGGAGUUGGGGAGAAACUUAGAGUCAUAAUGUUCAAAGAGAUCUAAUUAAUACUUGUAAAAUUUUAAGAGCUAAAAUUUUGUAACAGAGAUUGAGAGUGUAAUCGCAACAAAUAAUCAUACUUCAAUGGUUGAUUAAUUUAUCAAGAAAAGUUUUAAAAAAACAUUUAAUGACAGUCAACAUCAACCCUUUCACGUCAUUAAAAGAAAAUUGGAACUUUGCCCACAUUUCUUUAUUAUUUUGCUAUUAAAAAUUAAUUUUGAUUCAAUCAAUUUUUUAGUUAUCAACUACUAUUCUUAAAAAAAUAUAUAUAUAUACAAAAAUUACGAAAAAGAAAUAUUACUUCUCAAACAAGAAUCAUCUUAAAUAAUCAUCCUAUCCAUUUUAAAAAAUAUAUAUAUUUUCAAUAAAUUAAAUAAUAAAAUUAUUGAAAAUAUUUAUAAAUAUAACUAAAAUAAAACUCUAAAAUCGAUGGAGGAUGUAACUUAUGAAAGUCUAUUAGCAUCUAUCAUUAACAUAUUCUAAAAUAUUUUUGUAAAUAUAUUUUGUUUCAUUUUGCUAUACUUAAAAAUAACCUUCCACAAAUUUAAAACUCAAAUUAAUCAAAACCAAUCCCAACAAAUAUUUUGUAUAAUUUAUGCGAUGUGCAUAAAUACGCAUUUUCCCACCAUAUUUGAUAGCAAAUGGCAAAUUAUUUAAUGUUUGUUUGAAGCAAGAAUUAGGCAAAGAAGCAUAUAUCUAUAUAAUAUGUAACUAGAUCUUAUAUUAUAGUGAUGCAAAAUCGUUUCAUAAGGCACUUCAUAUCUCUCUGUCUCAUGGCAUCUUAAGUACACAAAAUGAGAAAAAGGGAAAAAGGGCCCUAAUAUAAUAUGUGUCCUUUAAUUGGUGGAAUUUUAUUUAGCAUUAUUAAUUAAUCAACCGUGUAAAAUAUGGUAGGAAGAAUUAUUCUAAUGAUGAAUGAAAAUUUUAGGUUGGGAGGUCCCAUAUAUGAAGCAUAUGAGAAAUUUUCAAUCUUAAAAGAGUGAAUUAUCAAAUUAAAUUUACAUGAACGAAAUGAUAUAUCAUUUGGUUUGUAUUAAGUUUGUUUAAGUUUAGAUGAUUUACGAAAAUAGGUUUGUUAUGUUUAGGUUGACAAAACGACACUGUAUUUAGAUGAUGGUGUAAAUUUUAACAUGUUAAACAUGUGUUUUAUCUUGGUUUAUUGUGAUCUAAUACAAAUAAAUAUCGUUAUUGAAUUUUAGGUUAUCGUGUAAAGUUGUAAAAUAUUACAAAGUGGUGCAAGUGGGAAAAUGGGAUCAAAAGGAGAGUAUUGAUAUGAUUUCGUUCCAAUUAUAACUUAUUUUUUUAGUUUAAUGAGACAUAGGAAAAAGCCUACACUUUAGUGUUUUGCCUCUUGAACUUCCUUUGAGCUAUAUAUCCAAAAUUAAUAAUGAUUUUUUAGCACGUGUCUCCUCUUUAAUGGCCUCUAAGGUACCACACUAUAGAGAAGAGCUAAUGAAUCCUUGUUUUCUAUAUAAGGAGAUGGAUCCAUGCAUUCUAAGCAUACAUUCCUAUCCAUGGCUAUUCCUAAAGUGUUGUGCAUUGGCUUUCUUCUUUUUGUGGGUUUAGGGUUAGCUUCGGCUGCCCGAACUCUUCUUGAUUAUGAUCCACGUACACGUCGCUAUGAUUACGAUCAUCCUACUCCAAGAGUAGGGUACGACCCAAGUCAUCGUGAUCAAUCCUAUGAUAGUGCAUACAGUGGAAGUUCUAGUAAAGGAUAUGGAGUUGGAGACUCUGCUCUUGGAGGUUCUGGACGAUAUGAAGGUGGUGGAGGACGUGAUUCCGGAUAUGGAGGUCGAAAUGAUGAUCAUGGUGUGGGAUAUGAAGGUCGAAAUGAUGGUCGUGGUGCUGGAUACGGAAGUCGAAAUGAUGAUCGCAGUGCUGGAUAUGGAGGUCGAAAUGAUGAUCGUGGUGCUGGAUAUGGAGGUCGAAAUGAUGAUCGUGGUGCUGGAUAUGGAGGUCGAAAUGAUGAUCACGGUGCUGGAUAUGGAAGUCGAAAUGAUGAUCAUGGUGCUGGAUAUGGAGGUCGAAAUGAUGAUCGUGGGGUUGGAUAUGGUAAUGGUGGUGGAUAUGGAAGUGUAGGAGGACAUGGUGAUGGUUAUGGUAACAAUGGUGGUGGAAGCUAUGGAGAUCGUUAUGGCCCUUCUCUUGGAGGUUCGGGAUAUGGAAGUGGAGGAAAAGGAAGUGGCAAUGGCUAUGAUGAUCAUUCUCGUGGAAAUGGAGCACGUGACAAUAACUAUGGAGAUUCUCACGGACAUGAAGGACGUGACAGUGGAUAUGGAAGUGGUGGAGGAGUUAGCGGAGGCUAUGGCAAUGGAGGAGUUCAUGGAGGGGAGCAUGAUAAUAGCAAAGGAAGUGGAGAAGAAGGGGGUAGUGAUGGUGGAUAUGCUUUCAAAAAUUCCAUCUCAAACAAGAAUUGAGAACUCUCUUUUAAGCAAUGAACCCAAUAUCAUAUUAUGUUAAAGAAAAAUAAGGAAAUUGGGUAAGAAUGAAUAAUGUUGUGUUCUAAAUGUAUGUUGAAUUUACUUCAAAUGAAUGCUAAAUUUGAAUCAAUGAAUUAUGUUUGGAUUAUGUUUGUUGUUACAAAUUGAUUCCACCUUUCUUUUUGUUUUGUUUCUCUAUACAUUUUUCUAUAUAUCCAUAUUAAUAUGGAUUGAUUUUGGACCGAAUCGAAUGACAUAAUAAUCUAUGCCAAAUAAGAGUAAAACCACAUAGCCAAGAAAAUGAUAAGAGUAAAAGGAAAAAUAGUAUGUACAAUGUAAGACAAAUAAUUGUGUCUAGGAGAAGAGGGUGUUACUCAAGCCAAUGCAUUUAACCUCGACAAGACUCAACCUCAAGUUGAGCCUAACAAAAUGUCUAGUUGGGCAUACCCUUGUCAAAAUGCAUCACUUUAAUUAAGACUAAAAUAAACAUAUAGAGAAGGGAGUUUGAGCUUGAUAGGUCGAGACCAAUCCUAGCAGAAUAUUAAACAGAACUUGCCCUUCACAUGCCUCAACCUAAGUGAGUUGAAAAGGUUAUCGUAUCGUACCUCCAAAACUCUAUUCGGACAUAACCUAACUAAUUAACUAGGUUUAUUUAAUUCUACAAAUAAAUCAUUAGAGCUCUACAGAAACAAACUCUAUUCUCACUCAAUUUCUUUGACAUUUUUCAACUCUCUCUAAAAGCCAAAUAGGCACAACCCUAAAUCCUUACAUCUUCAAACCCUGUGUUUUAAUUACUAUGGAUAAAAGAGAACACAAAUCAAAUUUUACUUUCUUAUAUUUAGAUCAUAUUUCUUUUGAAAUUCAAAGUAAUGGAUAACACAAUAUGCUUCCAUUUCUAAUUUAAAUGAAAAUUUCAACAUUCCUAAUUACUGAUUUAUUUACACAAAAUAGCCCAAAGUAAAUAACUAUAAGUGAGUUUUCUUUACUAUUAUUUUGGUGAGUGAAGAUACUAUGAGUUUUUAUAUCACUAAAAUGUGAUAAUUUUUCCAACCAUUAUUGUAUUAGCAAAUGGGAAAUAAAUUAUUUAAUAAUGUAUCUAUAAAGUGGGAAGAAUUAGGGAAACAAAAUGCAUAAUUAAAUAUGUAAAAAAACUAUAGUAAUGCUAUGUCGUUUCAGAAACCAUUUGAAGAGUUAAGGAAAAAAGAGGGGAAAAAAAGCUCUAAUAUAAUAUAUGCUCUUUAGUCCUUUUUCUUAAAAAAAAAUUAAUGCUCUUUAAUUAGUUUGAAAUAGCCAUAUAAAUUAAAUAUCUUCCUAAAAGGAAAGAUGGGUUCUCAAGAAAAAAUAUAUUUCAAUGCUUCUUUUUCUUUUUCUUUUUCUUAAUCCUUGUUGAUGAAGAGAAUUCAGGCUUAAAAAUGGAGAAUUUCAUAUUUUCUAAUAUUUUACACUUUUUUCAACCUCAUAAACAAAUUUUGAUUAAAUGGUUGUAGUAAAGAUACUUUUCUUUUUUUUUCACCAAAAACAGCUUUAUUUUAUUUUAAUCUUCUGUCAUAUUUGUAUCGAGAAAAUUAAAUAAAUACUAUUUUUUUUCAAUAUAUUUAAUUUCGUUUUAAAAUAAAGGGAAAAUCCCUAGAAAUCAUCACUUUUCUCUUCUUCUUUGAAGACCCUCUUCUUUUAUGGUAUAACUUUCAUUAGUUGUUCUUAAUAUGCUUCUUUUAACUUUAACUGUCAAAUAUAUAUAUACACAUACAACGAUAAUUUAUCCUUAAUAUCAGAUAUAAAGUUUUUUUUAUGCAUGGCUCUAAUCCAAAAGACUUCAAAAAAAAAAUUACCAAAAUGUAAAUCGAUGAUGAGAAAUUAAAAAAUUGAUAUGGCUAAUGUUUAAUAAGCUAGAUUGAUUGAUAAGUUACUCAUCCCACAAUUACUUGAUUUUGAGAUGAAACGUCAAGUUAUCUAAUAUUAUAUCGUAACUCGCGAAAACAUAAACGAACAUUCAGAUCAAAAAAAUAAAUAUUGGAGUCCAAUUCAAGAAUGAUGAACCCAAAGAGAGACAUCAUUUAUCAAUGGUGUGUAUACUAGCCAAGGAUCUUAUCAUGCUAGAAUAAUUGAGGGACCUUUUAUGUUUAUAUAUAAGAUGUAUAUGUUUCUUCUCUUAUAUUUUAUAUUGGUUUUAAGAUGUAAAGCUCAUGUUAUCUAAUAUAUGAUGUCGGUUGUUCGAAAAUUCGAUGUAAAAAUAGUAAAUAAUCGAAAGAAGCACGGAUCCCAAAAGGACAUAUCAAGGAAACCUCACACCAUGCAUCUUUAUAAGUCCCUCACACCAUGCAUUCAAAAACUAUAAUUGAGGGACCUCACACCAUGUCAUGCAUCUUUAUAACGUCAAUCAUACAUAUCUAUUAUUAAUUUCCUCUCAUAUGGCUCAUGAUAUACUACGUGUAACAAUUUUUCAUUGCCAAGAAAUUUCCAAAUUGUAAUAGUGGUAAGUUAUGAAAUGAUUUUCUUACAAAUAUCUUCAUAGAUAAAUUAAUAAUAAAACAUCAUGUGUGAACGGCAGAAUCCAAUUGACUGAAAAAUCAUUUUGGAGUAAUAUUAUCGGUUGUGAGCACAAUCCUUUGAUCUAUUUGGUGGGAAAGAAACAGUAGAACCUUUACUUGAGAAGCUAUAAUUCUUACAUUUUUAUUAAUUAUCAUAUUACUUCGUCUUUAUUUUAAAAAUAUUCAUACAAGACAUGAGAGAUUAGCAUAGGCAUUCAAAUAUCAAUACCUUUGAACAAAAAAGCUUUUCCUUGGCCCUAAAAAAGUUGUACAACAAUUAACAAAACACUCCAAUAUUAAGGUUAAUAGGAAGAAUGCCUAAACUUAACUAUAAAAAUUGUUUGGAACUACAAAACUAAGCAAACUAAGGUGGCUAAACUCAACAUGAAAAUAAAGAAGAGUAAUUUAAACUUAGAUAUUUAUUCAUGUCACCUAAACUUUUAAAGUCGUUUUUGAUUGCAUGCUCCUCUAAACUUUAUCAAAUCUUGCGAGAUCAUGUAAGGGGAAAGAUGGAAUCAACUUAGCCUUACUUUAAUUUAAUAUGUUUUAGUACCACAUGUCAACAUAAAAUAAAGAAAUUAGGUUAGAGAGAAGGUUGUGAUCUAAAUCUAAGUACAUUAAUUAAUGUCAAAUUUCAAUCCAUGUUUGAAUGAUAAACAAAUUUGGAGUAAAGAAUAUUACUCAACCAUACAUAAGUAAGACUUCAACUCUAAUUGAAAGGGGCUGACAAGUAUAGUUACUCCUAAACUGUCUACAAAUAUUAAAUAUUAUAUGAAGACAAUAAAGUUAAGGGGAGUUCGAGUCCCCUAGACCUAUACUAAAUCCGUCGGUCAUGGUGAUGGUGCACAACACUCAAUUGUUCAACACAACUAUGAUGAAUUUUUUUGUUUGUUGGGAGAGAAAACACUAAUAUGUUUUAUUUCAUUAAAAUGUGAUAUUUUUGUCCCAUGAUUAUUGUAUAGAGAAAUGGGAAAUUAUAUAUAUAGUGUAAGCUUCAAGUGGGAAUUAGGAAACACAUGCAUAAAUAUAAAGUUACGAUAAUUAUAGUAAUGCAAUGUCGUUUCAGAAGCCCAUUAUUCAUCCUCUCAAUUAUCUCAUGCAUGGUGGCUCUCAUCAAGUUGAGAAAAAGGAAAAAAAAUAGGCCUAAUAAAAUAUAUGUUCUUUGUUUCUUGGUAACCAUUGUAAAUUAAUCGUAAUAUAAAUAUCUUCUAAAAGAGAAAAAAAGAAGACUCUCAAGACAAAUUAUCAUGCUUCGUCAAUCCUCUUUUUUUUUUUUUUUUUUUUCCUCAAUCUUUAAUGAUAGAAGAAAAUUUUAGCUCAAUAAAAUUGAAAUUUUUGUAUUUUAAAAAAUUUAUGAUGUUUUUUAACACGUGUAUAUAUAUAUAAUGAACAAUAUAACAAAAUAUCACAUUAAGUUUUACUAUAUAUUUAUAAAUAUUUUUUUAAUUAAUUUUUUCACUUAAUUUAAAAAUAUUUUUUCUAUAUAAAUAUUAUUAAUAAAGAACAAUUACAUUAGCUUCUCUUUUUACGUAUAACUCUUACUUUGGAUUGAACUUUUAACUCUUGAAAAGAGCAUUAGUGAGCCAAUUAAUUCACUUUGACUACAUAACUUUCUUUAGUUGCUUAAUAUAUUUGUUUUGGUGUUAAACUAUCAUUAUAACAGAACAAUUAGGAUAGUUUUCAUUUUCGUGUAUAACGUUUUUCUAUGGUCGAUAUCUAAGGAAAUAAUCAAAAAAACAAAUGUACUUACAAUAAAUUUCAUUGUGUCAUAAAAUGAAAUUUCCAAAUUAUGUAAGUGUUAAGUUGUAAAAGUUGAUAAUCAAAUUUCAAUGUGAAAUUAUAUAUUUUGGAAAUAUCUGCACCAUAGACAAAAAUUAAUAAACAAACUUCUCAAAAUUAAGUGUGUUAAUUAUAAGAGAAUGCCUAAACUUAACUAUAAAAAAAUAAGUUGGAGCCAAAACUAAUUAGCUAAAAUAUUAAGGUGAAUUUAUCACAAAAAGUACAAACAAGUGAAGUAAGGUGGUGUUGCAUAAAGCCUACUGAUUUUCAACUUUGGCUUUCUAAAUUUGAGCUCCUCACGUUUUCACACAAAAGCUUCUCACAACCUUUGAAUAAGAUCCUCUCAAAAGAACAUCAACUACUGAUGUAUUAAACUAAUAAAGAGCCAGCCUAGUUUACUUGACUACUAGUAACAUCCUCAACAGUGACGUACAUUUAAUUUCACAAACAGUGCGUAAGGAUUAAGGUUAAACAAUCUCUCAAAACAUGCACACACAGUAUUUUUAACAGAGCUAAUUAACCCUAAAAAUAAACAAAACUCAUAAUAUAUAUGGAAGCUGAUCUUGAGCAGAUAGGAAAAAAGAUUAUCAAAAAGAAUAGAAAAACAAAUUAAAUCAGCAGGUUUAAUUUUCCCUACACGGUUCAAUAGAUUAAGAAAAAAAUCUUGAUACAAAAUUCGAAGGAGAAAUAUAGAUUUUGACAGAAAAUGUUACAAAACAAGUUGCUCAAGUUUUGCUUGUAACAAAAUCCGCCAAUCGUAGUACAGUAACACAUAAGCAACUAAAAUGACUGAUCUCAACAAGAAUGGAAACACUAGAUAUGUUACAAGAGAACAUGCAUAAAUACAGUUUGGUCUAAUUAAAAAAACAGUGUCUUAGAUAACACAAGAAGGUAGAAAAAUAGAUGAGAGAGUAAUCAAACUUAGCUGACAAAUAUGGAUAUUAAUGAAUUUCACCUGAACUUUAUAUAGUUUUUCUUUACUCUUCUCUAAAUCUUACCAAAUAUUGCAAGAUCGUGUAAGUGGACAAUGGAAUAAUCGUAAUAAUCAAUUGAAGCCUUACAUAAAAUAUCGAUGUGUUUUAGUACCAAAAUCGAACUUUAGUUAGUACCUAAUAUGACAAAAGGCCUCACUACGUAGUAUUUUGCCUCAUGGACAUCCAUGGAGAAGUUGAUGAACCCACCACUUUUUUUAAACAUAUGACACCCUCUUUACCGUGAAGGACACCAUAGAGAAGUUGAAGAGACCCUCCACCCAUUUCCUAUAUAAAGAGAUCAAUGCAUGCAUUUUCUUGGCAUUCUACUCAUUCUCUAAUUCUCUCCAUGGCUAUCCUUAGAGCACUGUGCCUUGCCUUUCUUCUCUUUGUACGGUUAGGUUUAGCUUCGGCUACUAGAACUCUUCUUGAUUAUGAUCCACGUACACUUCAAUAUGGCUAUGAUCGUCCUAGUCCAAGAGUAGGGUAUGAUCCUGGCCAUGGGGAUGAAUCCUAUGAUAAGGCAUACGGUGGAAGCUCUAGUAGAGGACAUGGAAUUGGAGACUCUGCUCUUGGAGGUUCUGGAUACGAAGGUGGUGGAAGACACGAUUAUGGAUAUGGAGAUCGACAUAAUGAUCGUGGGGUUGGAUAUGGUAAUUAUGGUGGUGGAUAUGGAGGUGUAGGAGGACAUGGUGAUGGUUAUGGUAACAAUGGUGGUGGAAGCUAUGGAGAUCGUUAUGGACCUUCUCUUGGAGGUUCAGGAUAUGGAAGUGGAGGAAAAGGAAGUGGCAAUGGCUAUGACGAUCAUUCUCGUGGAAAUGGUGCACGUGACAAUAGCUAUGGAGAUUCUCAUGGACAUGGAGGACGUGACAGUGGAUAUGGGAGUGGUGGAGGAGUUACUGGUGGCUAUGGUAAUGGAGGAGUGCAUGGAGGAGAGUAUGAUAAUAGCAAAGGAAGUGGAGAAGAAGGAGGUUAUGAUGGUGGAUAUGCUGUUAAGAACUCCAUCUCAAAGGGAAAUUGAGAAACCCUUGGCUUCUUUUUCUUAUUAUACUAUGCCAGCUAAAAUAAAAAUAUGGGGUAAGGGAUCAAGAAUAUUGUUAUCUAAAUCUAUGUUUGAGUUGCUCUUGUAAUGAAUGUAAUUAAUGAUAUAAACAAAAUUUGGAUUACAUUUUGUAUGAACCAAGUGAUUGGACCAUAUACACUUCUAUUCUUAUUAACUUUGAUUUGAGUAACACAAGCAAUAAUUAAACUUUUUUAUUUAUGACUAAUUUUAAAACUUGGGUUAAUAAUGAUGCAAUAUACAUGAAGAUGUGGGAAGAGAAAGGUAUACAGAGUGUGGUGCUCACCCCACACUCAAACUUUGAUGAAUUCCUUUUUUAUUUUCUUUUUACAUAGUUUUAAAAUAACUUGACAUUUACUUCACAAGACUAAUAUCCUUUUCUAAUACUCAUUUAAAUAGUUUUUGUCAUGACGAGAUGGAUCCCAGAGUUGAUUAGUUUUAAAAUUUUACCUUUUCUAAUAUGACAAUGCUAUAAUCUUAAAUCGGUUUAGAAAAUCUAUUUUAGUAAUUGGAAACUCCUUUAGAUUUUUUUAAAUUCAUAUAAUCGUGAAAAUAUAAAUUAUGCAGAAGAGGUUUAGAAAACAAAAUUCAUGCAAUAGCCAAAUUUGCACUUCCUUUGCUAUUAUCAUACUCUCCUAUUUUUUUGUGAUUUUUCAUUUUUAACUAUAAUUUUACAUAUAUGUGCAUAUCAUAUAUAUAUAUUGGACAUGGUGCAUAAGCACUUUGAGAUUUAUAUAUCUCUCUAUAAAACGUGAUCAUUUUCCCUCCAUUAUUAAUUAUAGUAUUAUGAUAUCAAAUGGAAUAGAUUAUGUCUCAAGGUGGGAAUUAAUUAUAUAUUUAGCAUUGUAAAUGCAAAGUAGUUUGAGAAAACCCAUUUCUUCAUCUCAAUGAUCUAAAUGACAUAAACAAAGAGAAAAAUAGUAAUAAUUAAACCUAAUAAAUGUAUAAUAUAUAUAUGUGCGUGUGUUCUUUAAUAUUUUUACCUUGGUAGGUUUUUAAUUAUAUGCAUUAUUAAUUUUAAUAAUAAAUAUAUUUAAUUAUUACACCUACACUUAAAAGUUUUUUAUUUGCCCCAAAUCUUGGUAGAUCUUUCAAGCAAGUGGAAGGAUUUAGAUCAAAAGGCUAACUUAAAUAAUUGAUAUGAAAUUAGUUCAAAUCUACUUUUGGCCCUAAUCUUCUCACACCAAAAUUAUAUUGUGUUCCCCUACACAAUAGGGCUGCCUCUUCAACCUCUCUAUGAAGAUGAAAUGUCCUUUUUUAAGGAGAUAUUCAUGGAUGAUGCAUUAUUCUAAGCAAAUCUCUCCAGGAUUAAUAUUCCUAUUGGAUUUCCUUUUUCUUGUGGGUCGAAGAUUGAAGUUUUCUCGACUAUAGUUCUUAUACACAUCACUACAAUUCAUUACAAGCAUCAUAUCCUAAUCCAAAUGUAAAAUAUAGGAUCGUAUUUAUUGUGGUUGAACAUUUCAAAGUGUAAGAAUAUGAACAUCAACCACAACCUCUUAGAUUGAUUGUGUUUAUAUAAUGCAAAGACUAAAAGAGAUAUCAUUCCAUAAACCUUUAUAUAUAUAUAUAUAUAUAGAGAGAGAGAGAGAGAUAUAUAUAUAUAAAGAUAAAUUAAAUAACAUAUAUAUUUAGAAUACUCUAAGACGUAAUAUAAUGUUGGUAGUCGCAAUGCAAAAUCAAAGUUUUUUAAAUUGAUUUGCAUGUAAUGAUCUCACAACGAUCUGUUUCAUCUCACUUUCAAACCCAUCAGUUCAUUAGUAUUGGGCCUUGAUUAGCUCUCUAACAAAGCCCAAUAGUGUACAUAUUCAUCUCGAUUUUUCUAUGUUUUCUACCUCACUUUAGUUGUGUUAUAGGUCUCACAAUUUAGUAUUAUUCUAGAAAGUAAACUCAAGACGACGUCAAUCUGAUUUACAUGCUGUUAGGACGAGAGAAUUUUAUGUACAAACUCCAUAAUAUUUGAUUUAAUUCACUUGUCGACUUUUUAUAAAUUUGUGACUAGAAGUAUAUAUCUCGACUAUCUUUUGAUCAAUUUCUACACAGUUCUGUAAAUUUGUAUAAGAUGGAGGUUAUUUCAGCUUAUAGCCCUUGCGAUUAUGUAUUGCUUAUCUAAUUUGAGUUUGAAUAUGAGAAGUGUAUUGUAAUUGUAUAUAUCCAGUUAAAGUGUAUAAUCAGAUUGCUAAUGUAUAUAUGUUAGUAUAUGAAGAGAAGAAGAAGAAGAAGAAAUGUAAAGGUUGUUGAAGCUAAGUGUGGAACAAAAGGAGAGAUCCACUAGAGGGAAGCAAUAUGAGAUAAUGGAUCGACCCCACACGUUGUUAUGAUUCAAAACACUAAAGACAAAGAGAUUUGGGGAUUUGCAUGUGGGAAAUUCAUAAAUAUGUCCAUUAUACUUUCUCUUUUGCUGCUGCUUUUCUACUUCAUAGUUCACACAAACCCUUCUUUCUCCAAACUUACCCAAUUAUAUGUCACCUAACUUAGGUUAAAACAUAUAACACUACGAACCUCCGAGUCUACCUCCAAACGUUACUGUUAUAUUAUCAAAAUCUUGUGCUAAUUUAGUCUCUAUUGACAUUUUAUUUGUAUCAUACCUUUGAUAUUUUACUGAUCAUGGGAGAGAUAUUUGCUCCACACGCUCCUAUAUAGCAUUUCUUCGUAGUCUCUUUUAACCGUUAGAGCUAUCAAAUAGUGGCUCUUUCUUUAGCAACGGUUGUUAAAAAUGUAUUUUUCAAUGGCACUCUAUCUAAAGAGGGGUGUAUAUGAAAUCACCAUUGUGGCAGCUUUUCUUUCCCCUUAUAAAAUGUGUCUUCUUUAACACACGUCUUGUAUGGUCCUAAAACAAGUUUCACGCAGGUCUAGUUUCACCUAACUUGAGUUUACUUCUAAUUCUCACGAUACAACACUUUCUAUGAGUUAAACUCUUCAAGAAAUAUCGUUCCUCCUAUAUGCUGAUCAUAUGAUUAGUAUAGAUGAUGAUCCUUAAGCUAUAUCGAAUAUGCAAUGUUGCCUUAAAUGAUUCUCUAAUUAGGACCACUCCACUAUUUCCUUGGCCUUUGAAAGUUUCAUCCCCCUCUAAUGGGGUAUUCAUCUCAAGCAAAAUAUACUAAUUCUCAUCCCUAAGUAAAUUAUAAAUAUACUUUUGAUCUCCUAGCUCAUUCUAGUAUAUUACUGAGACCUUUGUUGAUCACGUCAUCAAAGACUACUAGAACUCUUUUUAACUCCUUUUGAUAGUGCUCUUCUCGAAAAUGCAACUCUAUAUUGACAACAUACUAGUAGUCUUAUUUAUCUCGUUGUGGGUUGAUCAAAUAUUGCAUAUAUUGCUCAGAUUAUUAUUUGGUUGCUUCAAUGCUAAUUUUGUUGGUGAGGAUCGGUGUUCUCAUUUGGUGUAGAUAUAAAAAAACAAACUACAGUAUCUCGCACUUGGUAAUAUUAUUUCUCAGUUUUCAUAUUGGUUUCUUGGAGUGUUCCUCAGUAGUCUACUAGUUAUAUUUGUGUGACCAUCGUAGUGCUUUUUUAGAUUGCAAAUUGUGUGGUUUCUUCUAGAAACAUACCAAGCACAAUAAAAUUGAUUGUCACUUUGUCCAUCAUCAUCUCCCAAGCAAGAUCGUUCUAUCCCCACUAAAUCAGUAACCCAUUGAAAUCCUCACAAAAGUGUUAUCCCCCAAACACUUCUCUAUCCUACUUCACAAACUCAAGUUGGUGUCUGCCUUUUUCCACUCAUAACAAAAAAGCACCUCACAUCUAAAACUUCAACCAUUUUCAAGUUACAAAAUUUACUCUUCUACUGUGACAGCCCUUUUAAGAAGAAUGGGUUUUCAAUAAUAGAAAACAAAGAUAACAAUAAAAUAAAGUAAAAGAUUUAUAAGAGAGUGUGUAAUUUGAAAUCAAGUUCAAAUUCAAUUAAUACAUAACUCUAAAUAUUAUCAAACUAGCUGCCUACUCUCAUGAUAAACUUUUUGUUAGUUUUUCACAAUGUGAAAAAACUUGGAAUAGUUUAAUUAUUCUCAACAUUAUUUAUAAAGUCGGUGACCUAAUUUCUUACUAUAAUCAUAUCAACUAGAGAUAGAUAUAGAAUGAAUGUUAGUUCAUUAAUUUAAUGAUGAGUAGUAGCUAGGUAAAUGAACUACUAUGUAUUCAACUAUUUGUUGAAUGUCCCAUCAAUCCAUAUCUAACUAAGAAAAUAACAUAAAAACAUUAAGUUAAACAAGUGAUGAAAAAAUUUGUUAUAUAUAUUUAUUUUAUUUCUUCGGACGAUAAUUUUUUUUUUAUUUGUAUGGGUGUUCUAAACAUUUUCAAACUUAAAAGUGACAAAAAUCGGUUAAAAGAUUGGUAUGUAACUAUAUUAGUCAUAACUUAUAAACUUUAGCUUUUGGGUUGAAAACAGUUAUUUAUGUGGUAUCAGGACAAGAAAAUUGUGUAUAAACUCCAUGAUAUUUGAUUUUUGGUGUUAUUAUCACCAAGCAUGUCCUCUCUUUCCUAAAUUAAAAAUUUUGUGUUAUUAUCAUAUGAAAGUCAGGUAUGUUUUCUUAUAUUUAAAUUAUUGAAAGUGAAUUAGGUUAAAAGUUUUUUAUUUCCUUCUAAUUUUUUUUACUUAAUAAAUUGUCUUGGUAAUUUUUUUUUUAAAAUAAUCAUAAGAAAGAGCAUAUGUUGAAUUGGAAAUAUAUCAACUAAGUUAACAAACCCUUACUACUAUCUGUCACAUCCUAACCAAAAGAGAUAAUAUUGUCUUGGUAAUUUUUAACCUUCAAUUUCCAAUUCAUCACAUGGAAGCUAAACAAAGGGGUUAUGGAGCAUCAAUAGUUCAAGUUGGUUGUUUGGUAGAAAACACUCAUUGAGGUAUGGGAAACAGCAAGAGGCACACUAAUGGAAGUUGGGCCUUUUUUCCUUCUCUUUUUGCAUGUGCUUAUAGCCCACUUAGAAGUUGAUACUUACUCCACCAAUUCCUAUAUAAAGGGAUCAGAAGAUGCAUUGUAAGCAUAGGCCUCGUGUUUUGAGUUCCUAUGGAGAAUCAUAGAGUACAAUUCCUUGCUUUGUUUGCUUUAUUGGGUUUAGGGUUAGCUUCGGCCGCCAGAACUCUUAUUGCUUAUGAUGGCGAUGUCCAUGCCCCUGUGUUAGGGCAUACUUCUGUUGGAUAUGGUGGUGGAGAAGGAGCUGGUAGUGGAUAUGGAGUUAGCGUUGGAUAUGGCGGUGGUGGAGGAGGAGGACGUGGUGGUGGGGGUGGUUCUACAAAUGGUGGUGUUGGAUAUGGAAAUGGUGGAGGUGAAGGAAGUGGCGCUGGAUAUGGAGGUGGAGAAGAACGUGGUUAUGGCAAUGGUGGUGGUGGGGGAGGGGGAGGAAGUGGUGGUGGUGGUGGUGGUGGAAGUGGUGUCAGAUAUGGCCCGGUCGGUGGUUAUGGAAGUGGAGAAGGAGGUGGUUCUGGUGGUGGUUAUGGAGGCGGGGGAUCGGGUUAUGGAGGUGGUGGAGGUGGUGGCGGUGGUGGAAAUGGAGGUGGUAGUGGUGGUUAUGGUGCAGGAGAAGCGAGCGGAGGAGGAUAUGGAAGUGGUGGAGGACAAGGAGGAGGCUCAGGGAGCGGAGGGGGAGGGCAUGGAGGCGGCGGAGGAGGCGGUUGGGGAGGUGGGUAUGGUAGUGGAGGAAAUGGUGGUGGAUAUGGAAGUGGCGGAGGAGAAGGAGGAGGCUCAGGGAGUGGAGCAGGAGGACAUGGAGGUGGCGGAGGAGGUGGCUCCGGCGGUGGCUAUGGUGGUGGUGGAGGUGCACAAGGAGGAGGGUACGGAGGUGGGGGAGGGAGUGGAGGAGGGGGUGGUGGAUAUGCACCUUGAUUCUAUUUUAUUAUCUCAACAAAAAGGAAAAUAAUUUAAGAAGAAGAAGAAAGGUUAUAAAGAAGAGUACUAUUGAUUACAUUUUAUGUUCUUAAUAAAUGAAGUUUACUAUAGGGAUGAUAGUGAUUGAAGAAUGGGAAAUUAGGGACUCUUAUUUCAUUUGGAAACCCUUCCUUUUGAUCAUCUUUCCCUAAUCUGUAUUUGUAUUUUGUGUCAUGUGAUUUUCAAUUCUAAAUAUGCAAUUAAUUGUAAUUGUGAUUUACAACUUUUCCAUUCAUUUGUGCUCCAUCUAAAUGUAUGUAAACAUGAGAUUGAUGAUCACUAUAUUCAUUCAUCCAACAUACAAAUUCAAUCGUUAUUUUUACCGAGUUUUAAAUUUCACAUUUGCAUAUUGUUGAACUAAAAAAAUAUUGCACCAACUUAUAUCUAUGAAGUUUAAAAUGAGUUUCGAUAUCUCUAUACCUAGUUAACAAUAUUUGUAGAUCAAUCAUAUUUUUCAAUCAAUUAAAACCGUUUAUUUUUGGUAAUUUAUUAUGUAUAUAUUUGAUAUAAAGAUUUAAAAUACGAUAGAAUCGCUUAAGUCAAUCAAAACAUAGCUUAAUAGAAUACCCUCACAAUCUUAACUCUUUCUCUUACGCACCACUAAACUCAAAAUAAUAAUAAUAAUAUGAUUUAAUUAAUUCAUAAACAUCAUAUAAUAUCAUAAAAGUAUUAUUAUUUUAGUUUAAUAGUGAGUUUGGCGUAGUUGAAUUUCAGAAUAUUUUUUUUUGGCUAAACUAUUUAAUUAUAACUAUUUUUACAAAAAAAAAAAAAAAAUUGUUUUAACAUAAGAUACAUAUUAAAUUCACUGAACGUUUAAGAAUUCUUAAUCAUUCAUGUCUUUAAAUUUUGAUUCUAUUUCAAUCCAAUCACCAUUAUUAACCCGAUAAAAUUUACAACAAAGUAGAUCACUAACAAGCAUGAUAUGAGAUAAGAUUCCAUUAAUAACAUUAAACGUAUAUAGGAAUCAAAUAAUAUUUUGAAAAGACCUAUGAACCAAAUAAAAGUGCAGUACAAAUUAAAACAAAAACAAAAGGUUCGAUACUCAAACUUUUAUUAGUUUAAAAACAAUUAGAAAAAAGGAUUAAAUUUUAACUAAUUUAUGAAUAAAAAGAUUGUCUUGAAUCUAAAGUGGAACCACUUGGGAAUUCAGGCUCUCUAUUGAUCAUAUCAACACUUCCAUCUUCUCUAAGCAUCACCAUAUUUGAUUUUAUUUUCUUGGCAUAAAACGCUCUAUUACCUCUUUGAUGCCUGCCCAUUUGUGUUCUUGUUUUUGUCAGUUCAUACAAAUAUAUAAUAAUUCCUUUUUUUCUCAAUAUCAAAUAAAUCACUAGACUUUACUGCUGCCUUCAAAAAUUGUGAAAUAUACUAAGAAUAUGACUUUCUUUAAAAAAAAAAUGUUUUUUACAGACAAAUGAAACAAACAUAAAUUUCAAGAACUAAUAAAACCAAUUUUGUUAUCUUUACUCAAAAGCUAAGGAUGGCAAUGAAAAAAUAUAUAUAAUAAUAAAUUAGAUUUAUUCAACUUUGAUAUCAUCACUCACUCAUCUUUGUUUUUUUCUUUUUUUCUUUUUUUCUUUUUUUACUUUCUCACUUUUUAACAAUAGUUCAAAACUUUAGCUAACGUUUAAGAAAAUAGAUAGAUGGCUCGAGAAUCAACUAGUUUAGAGCAAAUUCAUAGCGACAAGAUUAGAAAUUGCUUAAGAAUCGAAUCUUUGGACAAGACUAUAUAACUGUUUUAGUUGAAGAAAAUAGAGAAACGAAUGGUUGAGACAUGAGAGACAAAAUGUUUUGAAGUGUUUUUGAAAAAGUAUUUUAUAAUAAUAAGAAGAAGAAGAACAAUAAUGAUAAUAUAAUAAAAUAAAUUAACUUACUUAUCAAAUACAACCCAUGUUGCAUGAAGGCUUGAGAUUUGCUCAACAAUAAGCAAUCUAAGUGGAUGACCCAUUACUACUUUCUUUUGUGGCACAACCUGAGAAACAAAAAGAAAAAAGAAAAAGGUAAUAAUAAUACACUGAUUCAUUAAUAAAAUAUGCUUUGAAAAUAUUAACCAAAAAUGUAUAUACCCCAUAUUUCCUACAGAGUGAUACCACAGCUUCAAGUUUUGCAUAUUUGGCUUCACUAAUAUACUCUCUUUCCACUCCCUCAAAGGACAUCUCCUCCAAAUUUAUUGGCCAAAUAUCCAACCAAGUUUUUGAUGAAACUACAAAAAUUCAUUUAUGUAAUGAUAUUAAGAAAACGCUAGAACAAUCAUACAGUUCGAUGUUAAGAAAAACAGGUAAAAAAACUCACGAGGAAUAUUGAGCCACGGCAUUGCACCAACAAGAGUAACGAUGCAACCAGGCUUAAUGACGUUGUCCAAUGCCCACUUAAGUGGGUCCGUUGUGAACUCUUCCAUUCCAUCCAUGACGACCACUACAUGUCUACUUGCAGCCUCUGAUGUUGAGCUCAAAGUCGGUGUUGGUGUUGGUGUUGGAGUUGGAGUUUGAGUUGGGGUUGGGGUUGGCGUAUCAUCCUCCAUGUCUUCGUUUCCAGCCCCUGCCAUGGCACAAAAAAUGAAAAUAAGGAAAAACAGUGUUGAUGGAAGACUACUUAAUAAUGUUUUCUAUAUAAUUCUUGUUUAGCUGUCUUGAGCAUAUUAAAUAACAAGGUUCGAUACUUACAAGAAUAUGCAUUGUAAUCUGCUCAACAAACCAACAAACAUCUCUAACAAUCAAUAUCUUCCAUCGAUUCUGUCAAAAUCAAACUCUUCCUACACUCAAAGCUCCAAAGUGAUGUGAUCCUUAUGCUAUUGAUCAUAGUUAUCAUCUCUAAAUAUCAGUCAAGUUACUAAAGAAAUUGCUUUAAAACAAAUUGAAACAGAUCGUCAUCAGAUAUGAAUUUGAUUAUAUAACAUGUCAAGCAUCAGAGUUGAAAAUGUUCUCUAUACAGAUUGAAAAAGCGUUGAUCGACUGAGGUCGAAUACAAAACCUGGACUCUUAUGAUAGCUAGAAAUAAAUUUAAAGGUCUUCCAUCACCACAUAUUUACCUCUAAAAAAAUAGCCUAAACAACUUUAGAGAGGGAGGGUAAAAAGCAAGGGAAACUAAAAAGCAAAAAUCUAUCAACUUGGCUUGCUACGGUUUCGGCUGCCAUGAAACGCAUCACAGAACUAUACUUGUUUUGCGACGAGUGUUAGGCGGGCUUGACCUUUUACAUGGUAAUGACCUUAGUCUCUUCUUCUUGUUCAAAGAGGAGCCUUCACUCUGAGAUCCCAAUAUAGCAGCAAUCAUUUUCGACCCUCUCGAACCUGGCAUGUUCUUCUUAACGUACCUCAUGGCUGCUUUUCUUUCAGAAUCUUCCACACCCUUAUUCAAUGGGCUUCCAGAUGUUGAGCACUUUUCUGUCUUCAGAUGAUCAACUGGGAUUCGGUAUUGUGGUUCUAAACAAAGUACAAAAAAUUCCAAAUAUUAAAUAUAGUCCAACCAGCCAAAUAUUAAACAGAAAACAUAUAGAGAUUAAAACAAGAUUUUACCUGGAGUACGGAAGACAUUAUCGGGGCUGGGAGAUCUCACUGGCGAUAGAGGAUGAAAACCAUCAAUACUUUCAUCUUCAUCAUUCAAACAGAGAUCCUUAGUUACAAUGGGAGAAGACUUCAUUGUUGCACUCUCAACUAUAUUCAAGUUAGCAGAAGUAGCAUUUUCCAAAUCACUGACACCAGUAUCUUGAUUCUCCAUUUCACAGGAAAACCGAGCAGGACUUGGUUGCAAAGUAUCCGCAGGUGCAUUUGCAGAUUCGUGAUUGACUUUAGACUCAGCAGCAAAUGAAGAGCAACCAGUACCGAUAUUUUGCAAAACCGACUUGGGAGAUGGAUUUGAGGAAUCUGAAUUCAAGCAAGGAUCCGAUCGUUGAAUUAAACUUGAGAACCAUGAAGUCCCCUUCCUCUUAUAUAACAAAAUGUAGGCCUCACGUGACAGCACAUACUCUUCAGUGACUGAAGUAACCUGAAUAACAUCAAAACCAGAAAGUUUUUUUGCUUCAGUAAAAGCUUACCGCACUUCACUAAAUCAAUGGAGAAUCAGCAGCUCCAUCAAUAGAAAAAGCACAUAACAGAAUUCCAGUUAAGUUAUAUCAGCACCCUCUUGAGGAUUAAUUAUCCUCAAGACCAAAACGAGUGCAACAACACAUCAGAUCAAUAUAGUAACUCAAAAAUAAGUAAUUGCUACUAUAAUUUCAGAAAUGGUGAUAUGAGAUACCAAAAGGUUCUACUGAUAUACAACCAAAAGCAAGGGGCCAAAUGCAGGGAAAGAAGAAAACGUGAAACAAAUUACAACUGGGAAGGAGAAUAUGAUCACUAAUUUAGUCGUCGCCAUAUAUCUAGCACGCUGCUAAAUCCCAGCAGUAAGUUGAAAAACUAAACAAAAUUGAAAAAUACUUCAUAAAUGUUAUACCAAUGAGUCGUCCAUUCUGUGCCAUGUAUCAGGAGAGGAACGAACAAAGCUGAAGUAGUGCCCAGAAGUAGAGGAAAACCCUGUGUGUUCCACAAUGGCAUACAAUUCAUAUUUGAGUUCCACCUGUUAUCGUCAAAGGGAAAAGAGAGAGAACCUCAGUAAUGAACCUAAACCAAUUGUAGGGCAAAGCCAAAAACAAAAAAUAUUACAGAGCUCAAAUAUUCUACAUUUUCAAGAUACUGAUGACAAUUCUUGUACAAACUUUACACCAUGAGGUAAGAAAAGUUAGAUAUUACCUCUGCAUCCUUGCCUCCCAGGGUGUACGGCUUCAAAUCUAACUCUAAUGGAAACUCCAAGUGCUUUUCGAUUUUCUCAACAAAAGAACUAUCAGCCUUGAAUCUCUUUAAGUGGAAUGUAGUAACCAAAGGGAUUUUUUCCAGCUUAAGCUGCUUCUCCACCCACACCUCCUCUUUGCAGUUUUCACACUUAAAUUUUGUUUCUGGAUCGCCAAUUCUCUCCACCUUGGUGAAAGAUUCCAGAGCACUGGAAAGGGAGUCCACAUUCUCAAUCUCCAAACUCAAGUCAACCAAAGGCUCAUGGGUUUCGGAACAAUGGCCACAAUUACAGCAGCAAAGCUGAAUAUGACACAAAUUGUAAAAAACAAGACACUGAAGCUCAAUACUUAAAAACAAAACAGUAAAGAUCAUUUUCUUACAUUGCUUAUGAGACGACCACCAAACACCUUAUUCACUAGAUCAUCAUCCUCUGAAGAAACUCGAUCCUUUCCUUCUGAAACCAUGCAUCUUUCAAGUUUAUCCAAGAAGCACUGCAUGAACUCAUGGGCAUCUUCCUGCUGGUAUCUCCAGAAAAAGGAUGAGAAGUCUAAUGCUAACUUAAGAAUAACAACAGUACAGCAAAGUUCUCAAAAGAUCAAAUAAUAAAACAAAGUACAAAAACAACUGCAACCUCCGUAACACGCAAGACCAUUUGUAUCCAAGUACCAUUAAAGAAAACCAACUAAAAGCAUGUUUGGAUUGACUUUCUAAGUGUUUAAAUAAAAGUAUAAAAUAAAUGUUUACAAUCACUUAGAAAGUCAGUCCAAACAAAACCUAACACACUGUGGUUAUCUUAAUCUCAGAUUUGCUCAGAUCGAGAUGCAGCUUCUUUGAAGCAAAUACAAAAUUCCUAACAAGUUAUCAUCACAUCAUACAAGGUACAAAAGGCACUAAUUAAAAGAAUUUUUAAGAAAAAAAAAUAUGGUGGAAAAUGAAAUAUAGAAAAGGAUACAGUUCAAGUUAUCAACAAGUUUCACUGGUGAGAUAAUCCCACCCAGAGAAGUUAAGGAGAGCUCGAUAUGAUCUCGAAUUGCACAAAAGACACAAAAACCUUCACCUGUGGAUGCAAAUUCGUAAUUCUUCAUCAACUACUGAGUCAUUAGAACCUAGAAACAGAGAGAACGUAUUGGUAGUGACAGUGAUCUUACUGUUACAAGGCAUAUCAUGAUUAGCAGAUCGAAGACCCUCCACAAAUGGAGCAGUAUGAGUGAGGCACUGCAAGAUUGCGUUAAUAAAACAAGUAUUCCCCAAAUUUGCAAGUCCCGCACCCUACGAAUUCAGAACAUAACCAAAACCAAACCCCAAAAAGAUAAAUAAAUGGAAAAUAAUAUAUCAAUUGCAACCAAGUAUAAAGAACUAAUUGAAAAUUAAGCUCACCGCAGAUAGAGAUUCGGUUUCUUGAGCAGACACGGAAUUUUCUGGGAAAGCUUCCUCUGAAGUAGACCACUCCAAAGACGAUCCCGGCAGAGGAGGCAAUGCGUCGAGUCCAUCAGAAUCAGACGAAUAAGUUGAGAAUGGCGAAGACCCAGUAGGGUUUAUCGAAGAAGAACCCCAAGACUGAUUAGCAGAGGCAUCCAUAGGCGAAAAAGAAAAAUUGCCGUUACGGCAAGAGGAAGAAUGAAGUAGAGAUUGUUGAGUUAGGGCAUCUUCGGUAGUAGUCGAGUGCCAAGACCCGGCUUCAAUUCCCAACGGAGGAACCAAAAAUGGAUCAAGUUCUUGAGAAUCAACCAAAUGGGUAGCCAUUAGAGAGAAUAAAACAAGAUAAUUAGAGUGAAAAGAAGAGAAAAACAGAGGUGGGUAUUGGAGAAGCAGAUAGAAAAGAAAGGGGGAAGAAGGUUUUUGGAUGAAAUUGAAGAGGGGGAAUUGGAAAAGAGAGAGGGAAAACGAAAAAGAAUCGGAAAAGGGUUUUAAUAUAUGGAUUUGAAAAGGGAGGGAAAACUCAAAAACUCCCAAAAAUUGGUCCUUUCCGCUUCAGAACAAAAAAGGGGAAAACGAAAAAAAAAUGAGAGGGAAAGAGAAGAAAGAGACGCGGAAGACGAUAAUGGUGACUGUUUCAUUUUCGUUUUUUAAUUCCUUUUUAAACACUUUCUUAAUUUCACUCCAAAACUCAUUCUAUUUAGGGUUUAAAUUCACUCACUCCCAACAGCUUUCGAUUUUUAUUUUUAUUUUAAAUAUUCAAAAUUAGGGUUUCUAUUUUACUUAUAUUUAUUACAUUUCAACUCAUAUAAUUCUAUUUUUUAAACUAAAUUAAUUUAAGCAUUGACUUAAAUUUAACUUCAAACGUUGCAGGCAUUAAAUUGAAAAAUGUGAUGAUUUAGUGGUUUAGUAGAAAAUUUUGUUGUUUCUCCUAACAUUUUGCCUAUAAUGAAGAAUCAAACCUCUAAUUUCAAGACUUGAUAUUAUUCAGACUUCAUGAAUCAACAAAUUAACUUUGUUUAAAACCAUUUUCUAAACUCCAUAGACUAAAUAAAUGUGUUUAUAUAAAAUUAACCAACCAUAGAAUGCAUAGGCUAAAUUCAAAAAUUCAAUGAAAAAGAAGUAACAUAAGAGAAUUAUGUAUUAGUUCUUUAAAUAUAGCACUCAAAUUAUUACUGAAACACAUACAAUAACCUCACAACUAUAACCAAAACUCAAUACAAAUUCAGGUCCUAAGCUCUUGUGAGAUAGGAAUGCCAAAUUUUGGUGGAGAAAAUACGGUAUGUAUUGUUUUGUUUGCUACAAAAAAAAAAAAAAAAAAGUAGAACUAAAGCACAUGUUCACUGCAGCAGCUAGAAAAACAAAAGAACCACCAGCGAAUGUUCAAGUCCUGUGUAAAAGGGUUGCUUUUUGAAAGAAUCUUUAUACUGAAAUUUCUUUACAUUCCUCAGUAAUAAAAUCCGCUGGUAAUAAAAAAAAACGUAUCGAGUUCGAGCCAAAUUCUACAAUGAAAAGGAACACUUGAAAAUAAUCAAAUGAUUCUGUCUUGAAGAUCUGUAAUUAAUGUAGAUGCCAAGGAGCUUAGCUUCUUCCCUGUUUCUCCUGCAAUGUUCUUGAGAGAAGAAAGAUCCUGCUGUGCCUGGACAAAAGUAAAUGAAUGUAUCACAUAUAUGUAAUACAAUGCUAAGGAAAUCAUGAACCCAAGCACAAUUGCACAGUUUAACAAGGAUUAGUAUAGAACCUGAAUAGAAAGCCGGUUAAUAAACUCAGUUGCAGUAAGAUCGGCAGAAGGAUUAUCUCGCUGGUUACCAAAUAGAUCGGCACUAGAGAUGGAAGCUGAGCCCUGCGAAUAGAAGGAUGGCAAGUAAGGGGAAUGAAAGCACUAUGAUUUAAUUUAAACAGUCAGACAUAUCAGCAAUAUAAAGAACGGUUUCCAUCCAAUCUGUGGAAAGUAUUAACUAAUAUAGCGCUUAUCAUUCAGUACCAAAAGUUGAAAAUGCAGUCCCAAAGCCUCAUCAUAAAAACAGAAACGGACCGAACACAGUGUUUUUCCCUUUUUUCUUUAAUACAUUUUAUGGUUUAUGGUUCUUUUUUGAUUGAGCUUUUACUUACCUUCAUCUAGAGAGGGUUUUUUCUCGUAACAUGUACCAAAUGUGUCCAAAACACAUACUUAACAUGUCAGGAAAUUAUAUAUAGCGUAAACUAUAAAUCCUUGAUAAGGAAAGAAUCAGAAUAUAGAACUUCCUUUUUUUAAAUGAAAACGACAACUUUCAUUGAGAAACAAUAAAAGAAUACAAGGGCACAAAAAAAACCAGGCCACAAAACCACCCCAUUAAAGAAAGAGGGACCAACUAAAUAAAAUGUUUGUCUAUAGAAUAUUUACAAAAGUUCUUCGAAACCGAAGCCCAAAGAAACACGUGAUAUCUAAUCAAAGACCAAAUCAGAAUAUAACACAUAAAAGAGUUCCUGCUCUAUCAUGAAGGAUUGAAUAGUCAAAUGGUAAGAGGUCUGUAUAAAUAGCAUAACUAGAAAAGUAUGGACAACAAUUUCCACUUAAUUAACGAUAAAGGCAAAGGUACAAACCGAGAAUUUUUGGAGGGAGGCCUGAGCAUCAGCAUCAGCUCUGUUCUGAUCACCAAAGUAUUGGGCUGAUGAUAUAGAUUUGGCAUUGGAAAAUUUCUUCCUUGCUUCGUCACUUUCUUCAAUCUAACAUCAAUCAUGUUGUUAGAACAGAGAUCAAAAGAGGUAGAGACAUUGAUAUGAUGGACCCAUGUGCGCAACCAGCAAAAAUACUCUUUAUGCUUGCCAUUACUUAAGAAAUAAGAUUUUUAUUUAUAGGAAUUUUGAUGGGUUCUUUUCAGAUAUGUGCAGGUUUGUGACCCUCGUGUAUACAAAAGAGAAUAAAAUGUAGAAAAUGAUAGAAAAAAUACAGAAACUACAAGUAGCACCAGAGUAGAACAUAGAAGAACACCAUCCACUGCUACGUAAAAUUGCAAAGGGAUGUUCACAAAAUUUAUUCAAAGCAAGAAACUUCCCCAGAAAACCCAUUUCUACAAUACUUGUUUAGAGUAAUUCAUUUUUUGAGUACCAAAAGUAUACUCAAUCAAGAACACUUCAUACUCAGACACCAAACCGCCCAAUUACAUUUAAAUAAACCAAAAGAUGCAAAAAGCUAUUUACUGAUGUAUAAAGACAUACCAAAUAAUUAUCUAAGACUAAGGAUAAUCAUCGUUAUGGAACAAUGGUCGGGUGACAAAUAUUAAUAUAAUUAGAUUAUUCUUAGGAGAUAUUAUUCUGGAGAUAUUAUUCUGGAGAUAUUAUUUGAUAUUAUUUCCUUAAGUGUAUUUCUCUAUGGUUAUAUAUAGGCUUGUAUCUCUAUUAAGUAAUGAAUGAAAUAUAGAUUAAUUCCAUAAAAUCAACAUGGUAUCAGAGCUCUAGGGUUUUCGCCUUAUUGAAUUCUAGCCUCCACAUCCCGUUUGAUCUCUGCCUCCGUUGAUCAUUCAUCAACGGAGGCAGAAUCAUCUCCCAUUAGCUGAAGCCGCCCCUUAGAUCUGCAAAUUUGCCGUUGUCGUUGCACCUUCCCUUUGUCACUCAUUGCUGUUCAAAUCUGCCACCAUCCAAACCCCAGAAACCCCAUUCGUUUUUCACUAGCGUCUGCGGCGGCCAUCUCCUUCAUAGUUCUUCGUCCGACCUCUUGUUUUUCCGUUAGCCAAGCAACCGAUUGAACCUCUGUCAGUUGAAGCCGAACGCCCAGCCGAAGAGUUUCAGUUUUUUCCGUCGUCCAAGAAGCUCCGCUCGCCGCUGCGUUUCGUUGCCGUUGCUCCAUCUCCUUACGCUGUCCCAACAAAACCAUGAAACCCCAUGAAACCCCAUGUCCUCAUAUCCUCACGUCUGCCUCCAAUCUGUUCCAGAUCUGUCUAAUUUCGUUCAGACCCAUCCUUCAUGUCUGCCUUCAAAGUUUAGAUCGAAGCCCAGAUCCAACGACGCCUCGUUUCUGUUUUUGUUCAGAUCCGCUAAGCCUCUCUGCUCCAUUCAGUUCAGCUCCCGUUCUGUUCUCCCCAGAUUUCCCGUUUAAUCUGAUUCUGACUUGCUCUAGUUUAGUUCGUUCUGUUCCACUUUGAUCCGACAAAACACUUCUGUCCAAUUCCGACCCUGUUUUCGUCCAGCUUUGAUUCUACUUUGCUUCAGUUUUGCUCUUUCAUUUUGCCCCCCGAAGUUCUUGUUUCGUUCUUCCUAGGUUCUGUUAUAGAUCUCUAUACGAGGAUCUAUGUUUCUAUCCCGGAAGUUUUUCGUGGGUUUGUUUUAACCUAGAAGUUCUUUGUCUGUUUGUUCUUCGGGUUUUUUAUUCUAUUCUAGAUAUAUUGUUUCUUUUCUUAGUUCUUAGCAAACUCAAGUUUGUGAUUUCAACCUUGAAUUUGAGGGAGGGUAUUAAUAUAAUUAGAUUAUUCUUAGGAGAUAUUAUUCUGGAGAUAUUAUUUGAUAUUAUUUCCUUAAGUGUAUUUCUCUAUGGUUAUAUAUAGGCUUGUAUCUCUAUUAAGUAAUGAAUGAAAUAUAGAUUAAUUCCAUAAAAUCAACGUUCGGGUGACAAAAGCAAUGAGCUUCGGAUUUACAGCCUACAUUAGACAAUUCCUCACAUUUCUUUUCAAGGCUGAUUCAGAGAAGCAUGCCAAAAUCAUUGAAAAAUCAGAAGUACAAUGUCUAACCUGCACUUUUGAGGAACUGGAACUGCCCUUCUUUGGAAAACCACCAUCCAUUCCAAAUUCAGCAAAGAAGCCCGAUGCCUUUGGGGGAGCUACAUGGCUAAGUACAUGAGAGCCACUAGAAUUCACAUCAGAUGAUUGGACAUUUUCUACAUAUUCAAAGCGAGAUGCAAAAGAUGAACCAGUUGCAGCAGUUUUGGGUGCUGUUGAAGAUGAAACUGGAACUGUAGGUUCUUCAGGUUUCUGAUCAUAUAGAUUUUCACUUGGCUGCAUGGAGUAAUGCAAAUUAUAAAGUCAUGGAAAAUGUAUUUCAAAAUCUAUAUUUAAUUGAGGUCAAGAGAAAUUUCGAACACUAAUACAUGAGCAAUAUAAGGCCACUUCACAUUGGUAGAAUGCAUUAUUAUUAUUACCUUUGUAGUAAGCUUUCGAGCACCAAGUCCCCCAGUCUUCCCUGGUUUCUUCCCACCAAUGGGCUUCUUAACAGUACUUGAGAAUACCGUCUGAGAAGCUUUUGGUGAAGCAGAAAUUUCUGGAGCCUCUUGCUUUCCUGAGACAUGGUCCUUUGCAGUUUCAUUAGUUUUGAUAUCAGGAGGUCCAUUUGUUACUAGGUCUGACUGAGAAGUAACUGGGGAAGAUGGCAAUGCCGGCUCUUCUGCCAUACUUUUAGCAACUUCUUUCGAAAGUAAUUGCCUAUACAACUCAGCAGCUCUAGAUGUAUAUUUGGCCUCAAUUUUGCCUCCAUCCGUCCAUCCAUGCUGCUUAAAGAAAACCUGUGCUCGGUUAUUCCCUCCAAAGCUCAUUGUUUUAAGCUGCUCCACACUCCAAGAAUCUAAAUUUGUGGACCUACGUAAAUUGAAAAAACAUAAGAACAUUCAAUACUAACCAUCAUAAGGGGAAUUGUACCUUAAGAGACUUCUCAAAAUAAUUACAGGUCAUAACCUUUGAUCGAUUUGAAAUUCUAACUAGCAUGUUAAGCAAACCAACAGGACAAGCAAAGAAAUAAGAGAUAAAGUGCCCUGAGAAUUUUCCAGAAGGCAACUAACAGUUAGGUACAUAUAUGUAGUCCUUUCUCUAAGGCCACAGAUUUUACCUCAUUGGUGAGUAUAGAAGUAAAAAAUGUCAUUUAAUAAUUUACACCAAGAUUACUUUAAAUGCCCAAAAAAGAAUGCUUUGAUUCCCUCCGUUCAUGCAAUGAUGUAACUAGUCUUUUCAAAUUCCACUUGAGUACAACUACUUCUCACUGAUAUUUGCUUCAUUUAAUUUAAUCAUAAACUAUUCACUAUAGUUCUAGAAAACAUUGAACCUUUACUUUACUAUAAAAGAAAAAACCUUUUAUUAGAACCCUUUGGGUAAAACUUUCACUGUUUUUUUUAUUUUAAUGGAAAUAACUAGAUCUACAGAAACAUCACGUUAUACAUAAGGCAGAAGGACAGAGGAUCAUUCACAGCCUCAGGUUGGGGAGAGCACAAGAUACUUAUCCAAAGUCUCUAUCUUUCAUUAAGAAAAGAAAAGAAAAGAAGAAAAAGAAAUUGUAUACUGCAUAACUUUCCUGUAUAGAUAAAUAAUCAGUGCAGUGCAAGCCAAACCUCGUUCUCAUACAUACAGAUAUGUGUGCAUGUACACUAUCACAAUGACUAACAGAUCUAAAAAUGUAGUUCUUUGUGAUAUUUUAUAAUUACACUUUUUUAAUCUUCUCGACUAAGAUUGUAAAGACGACACACCAGACUUCCAUUCUUCUGACUGAAAAGAAACUACUAAAAGCUCAAGUGCAUGGUAAAAAUUGGUUAUUAACAUCAAUAACCUUUUGAUAAUGAUUCGAACUUACCUUUCUAUUUAUGAAAACUAUGUUUUCUUCCUCACAAUUUAUUUACAAUGGUUUCCGCUCUUAUAAGAAACAUUUGAGUUCUUAGUUUAAGUUCCAAAAAAGUGUUAUUGCACAAUAAAGCGCAUUAGUCUUCUGAAGCUUAAGCGCAAGGCGCAUUGUGAGACGCACUAUAUAUAAAAGUACUAUAUUAAGAAAAAGAAGCAUGGUUGAAGUGAAAAUAUGUAAAAACAGACGUUUAAACACAAGAAAAUUUUCAUUUGUGCUUAGUAAAUUUGAUUUUUUUAGUUAAUAAAGGAAAAACACUAAUUAUUUAUAUUUAAAAUAAAAACCCAUGGCACAGGCCUUUGAGCUUCAGGCGUGCCUUAAUUUGUGAGCCUCUCCUUUUCAAGACGAAGCACAAGGCCUGCACUUUCAGCCUAGGCGCACACCCAGGAGGAUUUUUUAAAACACUAGUUCCAAAAAUAAAAACUAUUACCAAAAAGAAAAAUCUACAUUUUUAAGUUUUGAAAACUUGGCUUAGAUUUUAAAGAAAAAAAAAAUGAUGGAAGUAGAUAGCAAAAGAAAGAAACUCCAUAACUGGAAGUAGUAUUUGUAAGCUUAAUUUUCAAAACUCAAAAAAACAAAAACCCGUCAUUAAACAAGGUCUACACUACUAUUGUAUUUACAAAUGCACGUUUACUUGAUUUUCAAAUAAUUUACAUCACUUUUCAUGAGUCUAGUUUGAGGAUUCUAGAAAAUAAUCUAUAAGCAUCUACAAACUACGACCCAGACAUACUGAGAUACAAGGUUAAAAGAAUUUACAUGAACCCAUCAAACAUAAGUGCAUGUUAGAGCGCAAAACAUGGCUAACAAGUAGGAGGACGGGGUUUAACAUAAAUAACUAAACAUAUAGAAGAGGCGUGAGAAUAAGACACUAUCAACACAAUGCACUUCCAAAAACUACACAUACCCAAUCAGGAAAAGAAACAUAUAAGAAAGAACUCAAUGAAGGUCAAAUUAGAGCCACAAAUCAAAACCAGCAGGCAUCAAAAUCAAAAACCCAAAUAGAAAAAUCACCUGACAAAGCUAACAUGGACACCAAGGCUGCGAUGCACAGCAGAACAAUCAAUACAGAGGAAGAUCCCAUAUGUAACAGAAGCCCAAGUCGGAUUCUUGGCAUUGCAAUCAAAGCACAUCUGAAAAAAAAAACAAAAACAACAAUAAUAACCACAACCAACGAAGUGGGUCUGUUCCAUUUCAACAGGGGAUUGAAGAUCUCGACAUGAAACACACAGAUCGGAAAGAGGAAACACAAUAUCAAGAUGAAAUUGAAUGGAAUUCGAAUAAUACCUUGUUAUCGGACUUGGCUUUGAGUUUUCUAAAGACGAGGUUCUUGUCGGAAAAGCUGUCGAACGCCAUUGGAAAGGGAAACGAAGAGAAAAAUCCCCAAGGGGGUGUGCUUGAACGAACACCACCUUUGGGAAAUUGAAGACGAAGAUCGGUCAAGAAGAAGAAGAUCGGACUGAAACUCCAGAAAUCGCUUCCUUUGGUUUUUUAAUUCGAAAGAAAAUUCUUAACCGAAUUGACCAAAACAACCUUCUAUGUUUCUUCAAAGAACUGCCAGGAUGAGUCCAAGCUUUGAGCACUACAUAAGGGUACUUUCGUCAUUUUGAAGAAUCGAUUUUUAAAAAAAAUUAGGUCACAUUGUUCAAAAUAUCUCUCCAUCAAUGGUUACAACUUCUUUGCUUCUACUCCAUCUUUAAAAGUUAAUUUGAAUAUACUUUGAAUACUAUAAAAGGGUUUCUUACCUUUUCUUUUUUCCUUUUAACUUUUUCUUUUCAUGAAUUUGCUUUAAUGAGAUUAACGAUGUUUGAGUAUAUAGUUAGAUUGAUAGUUAUAUAUAUCGAUACUGCAUAGAGUUUUAAGACUCGUUCUAUUCCUUUUACUAAUCAACUUCAAUUUAGUGAAACUAUAAUCGAGAACACGUUCAACUUUUAUUUUACUUCUUAUAUUAACUCCAAUAUUAUAUUUUUAACCUAGAUCAUAAUCGUUAUGCCAACUGGUGAGACAAACUAGAUGUUCCUCAUACCAAAUCACAGUGGAUGACACUCUCAAUGUCAACUCAACUUUUAAAGUCACAACGAUAUUAGUAAUCACGGUACUAAUUUUGUGGAACCUCAAAUAUCAUUAACGAGUUGACAAUAAGCUAGUAUUGGAUAGUUGAAGUGGUCAAUACGUACGUUGAUACCUAGAUUGUUAUAAAAUCAAAGCAACUCGUUUAAACAUAAAAUGAGAAGUGCCACACGUACUUAUUAAUACUUGGCAUGAAAAUUGCUUGAGAAUUAGAGUUGUUUAGGCAAGCACUACCAUAUGUGCAAUUUAUUUUGCAUGAAAGCAUUAAGUAGUUAUUCUCUUAUCUUUUCGCAAAAUAUCAUUCAACAUUUACUUGAAAUUUGUUAAACUUGACAGUCUCGUAUUAAUGUUAUUCGUGAACUAAGACCAAGAAGAUUAAUUAGACACGAUAAGCUAGCUAAGACAGAGUUUAUGAAGUACAUUAUUCAUUUGUUUAUGUUAGAAAAUAUCUUAGGGUUGUAUUAAUUGCACUUAAACUUCAAUUAUGAUCAAUCUUGCUUUAAACUACAGUGUCAUUCAAUUUGAAGUAAAACUACAUCAAAUGAACUUAAGUAGCAAUAAAUGAACUUAACUAUACAUCUUGAGUUUUACUUGGUAUGGAGUGAUACGAGAAUUGAGUAUGAACACAGUUUUUUGUUACUUUUGACAUUGAUCUUCAAGGUAAAUUAAUUUCUAUAUUCUUUCUUCUAGUGUAAUCGUUUUUAUUUCCAGAUUUACCAUAUGCAAUUUAGAAGUUUACAUAUCUUCAAAGGCGUGUUUUCCCCAAUGACUAAGAAGUAUGAGUUGGAAAAAGACGAGUGUCGUUAAGUUCACUCUUCUACUAGCCCAAUGUAUGUUUAAAUUUAUUGGAGGCUCUAUUACUAAACAACUCCUCGUACUAAUUAAUUUCAUUACUUAUCUCAAAUGUAUCUUAAAAGUUAUUGAAUCAAAUUACCUAAAGUUUUCUUAUCAGCCUCUUUUUUCAUUUAAAGAGUGUUUGGUCCACCAACUUUAUAAAUUGAUAUUAAAAUAACUCAACUUCACCAGAAAGUAAAGUUCAUUUCACUCGAAUCCAUAUUGUUUUAAUCAAUGUCAUGGAUCGAAUUUGAAUAUUUUAAAAAACAAAAAUGAAACAAAAAGAAUGUGUUAUUUAAAGCAUAAAUUAAUGGAACUAUAUUUAUAGUAUAAUUUUGGAAUAUGUUUAAUAUUUCUUAAUAAUAUAAUUUUUUUUGUUUUGCUAUUGUUAGGAAGGAAAAUGGUAUCUAUUCUUUUAAAAAAAAAUUAUUCUAUUUUUCAUGAAAUAUUUACUCUUUCAUACAAAAAAAAAUCAAAUAUAAAUAGUUUGAAAAUUGUUCUAUUUUUUAAAAAACGUCUUUAAAUUUCAGUCCUUUUCUCACAAUUUUUAUUAUGAAAGGAUUUUAUACAAAACUUCCUAUAUAAUUGGCAAUAUAAUUCAAAUCUUUAUAAAAAUAAUUAAAAAGAAAGAAAGAAAAAAAAACUCUCUCCCCAAUUGGGCUCGGGCCUUUUUUGCUUGGAUGCUCUUGGGCUUAUGAAUCAAUGUGGGCAUCAUCAUCAUAUUGGCCUUUGACAAGGUUGAUUUUCCACAAAUAUCAACUACUUAAUCAAAUGAAGCAAUCUAUAUGGUAUAUGCUAUAAAGUAUUAAAAUGGAGAAUAAGCCAUAUUUUCUAUUUUUCCUUUUACCUUUACAAUUUUGUACAACGGUAGUAAAUUUUUCACUUGGGUUAAUUAGUCGAAUUUUCGUGACUUGGGUCGAGUAUGUGUUGGAGAGAAGAUGAUAUAUUUUGAUUAUAUUUUUUUAGAAUAAUUUUUAUUUAGAUUUUAUUCUUGGUAGAAAGGGGAAGAAUGAUAAAUAUGGAUAGCAUUUUGAAGUAUUCCUAGGACAUUACGAUAAUAAUUUAUUCCUUAGUUUUUUCUAUAAAGAGGGUUAUAAGGGGGAUAAUUUUUAUAUACAUAUUUUAUCCUUUUAUUGUUAGUAAAUUCUCACGCCACACUUUAUUGACUGAGUUAGCCUACCCCUUUUUAAGUGUACCUGUCUAUUCCGAACAAAAAUAUCAUUUAUUAAAAUGUAAUAUUGUAUUAAACUUUUUCAUACAUUUUAUGGAGAUUAAAACAACUCCAAACCUUUUACAUUCAACUUUUUUAUUUUCACCUAAAGUCUUCAAAAAAAAAAAAAGAAACUAGUACUCUAGAAUAUAAGAUAAUUUGAACUCUAUACUCAUAGUUAUUUCCUAUAAAUAAGGUGAAAAAAAUACGUUAAUACUAAUUUUGAAUUGUAUCAAAUACAACCAAAAACGAAUGUGAAAGUACAUCCACAAUAUGAUAAUAAUAUCAAAGUGGACAUAUAUACUUCAACGAAAAUACAAAUACACAAUCGAGAAAUAAGUGAUUCAAAUUCUUUUAUACAUUACUGUAGAAAAACAAAGAUUGUCGUGUUCGUUGGCCGGUGACAAAAAUGAAAACAAAAACCAUAGUGAAAGUACUUAAAGGUCUCGUGAGAUAAAGGUCGAGGGUAAAAUGGACGGCUCCCAAUUGAGAUAACAUGAGGAAGUAGACACCCAAAGACAGCCCUCCACGUGGACUAACUGUUGCAUUGGUGGCCGAUGAUGUGGACUGUACGGUAUGUGUGACGUGGACAAGUGAAAUUCGGUCCCACCCCUCCACUACCCCUUUUUUAAUUCACACGUUUUUCUUUCCCUCUAUUUCUCCCCUCUGGGACCCACUUUUAUUUAUAUAUUUAUAUAAUUAAAAGUUAUUCUAAAAAAAACAAAAUUUAUUAAAACGUUGAUUUUUUUAGGAAGAGUAAAUAUUUUUAUCAAAUUCUUUAUAGUCUCCUUAAAAUUUUUGCUAUAUUUUGUAAUUUUAAAAUUAAUUUAUAAAAUAAUAAAAUUCAUCAAACUCUUUUAUCUUAUUUAAAAAUUUUAUUUAUUUUAUAAAUAGUUUUAAUUUCUUUUAAUUAUUUGUAAUAAUUUUCCUUUAUUUUAUUCUCACCUUUUAUUUUUUAUAAUUCAAUAGAAUGGAUAAGCUUGGUUGAACAUUACACGUAAAGUUAGCAUAAUCUACGGAUUUAUUUACCUUUUUUAAAAGAAAAUAAAUAUCAUUCAAAUGUCAAUACAUAUAAUUGAACAAAAGAUCGAUCAGCUGAUUUUAGAUUUUUUCAUGUUGUUGAGCUACAAAAUUUCAUGAAACAAUCAAUUUAUUUUAUUAUGUUUAUUAACUACUAAUUUAUGUUUUGUUUAUAUAUGUUUUUUAUAUCCACUUUUUGCCAUUGUUAUUCUUAAGAUCUAUAUAAAGUUUGAUAACAUGAAAGAAAAAUGCAUUUUGAUUUUUUAGAAAUAUAAAUAUUAUUGAUCAAAAGUGAAAACCUUGAUUUAAGUGUUAAGAAGGGGAUUUUUUUCAAAAUUGACGGUAAUUACGAGUUAAUUUUCAAUUCACUUAUAAAAAGAUUUCAUAAUUGUCACAUCCCUAAAAGUUAGUCUAAAAGGCUAUGAAACUUGAAGACUCGAUUGAGAGAUAGGGAUUAAAUAAAAUUGUAUGUUGACUACCGACCAUAAAUCUUGAGGAUAAUUGUGCAAAGGGGAAUGUAUUAUCUCUUUAUAUCAUUUUGUAUAGAUGAUCUAAGUUGAAUUUUGACGUAGGGUUUAUGUCAGAGUGCAUAUUUUACCUUCUUAAACAAUCACAUUAAACUUUUUGAAAGUUAAUUACGUUUUAGGUUACACAUGGUGAUGUUAACGACUCAAAAUGAUCAAUAUAAUUAAUAUAAAAAUAGAUUUUUUUUUUUUUUUUUGGUUAUGCAUAGAAAUGAAAAUAUACAUUUAGAAAUUUACUUGAGAAAACUAAAAAAACAAUUGCGAGAGAAAGAAAAAGUAGAGUUGAAGCGUUUAAUUUUCUAAAAUCAAAAUGUUAUCAAACAUGGGUUCAAUAUUUUCAAAUUGCAAAUAUAAUCCUAGUCAUUCAAAUAAUUUCAAAGGUUAAGGUUUAGAAUAUAUUUUCUAAAAACAAAAUGAUUAUUAAAUGUGACCUAAAAAACAUAAUGAUUAUAAAACACAAUCGAGACUUUGAGAGUUCAAUUGAGGGACGGUGGGUUAAUCAUGAGAGGGGAAGGAUUAGGUCAUACUCUCAUUUCGUUUUAGGUCACGACAUGUCAGAAUAGUACUAUUGAAUAUUGGUUCGCAACAAAGACUUUUGGAUCGUGAAAAUAUAUUCCACCAUUGGUUAAAUUUUAUUUGUUGAUUAAAACAAAAUAAGAAAUUUUAGGGAGAAAAAUGUGAUUCAUGCAAAUCUAAAAUCUGACCUAAUUUUUAUUCUUUUCUUCAUUCAUUUCUUGACAUUAUGAGAAAAACCUACCAAAACAAAAAAGAAAAUGUUUGUUGAUUUUCCCCCUUAUUUUAGACUACAUUUUGUGAAAUAAAAAUAUUCAAUUUUUUUUUUUCUUUUUAACAAUUAGUUGCCAAUAAUUCAAAUCACAUUUUCCACUUCCAAUGUUGUACAUAUUUUCCCCCUAAUUUCUACACCCAUAACUUUAUUGUAAGGAAAAGUACUUUUGACUAUAUAUUUAUUUAAAUGUAUAGCAAAAUGGUUGGAUGAUUUGAAUGUGUGCUUUUGAUACAAUUAAUAAGAAACACAAUCACAAAUUAACUUUAUCUAUUUUUACUUAAUUAAUUUCCUUUCUAAGUUUUUAAUUUCCUUUUUAAGUUUUUUAAAAGUUUAAAAUAUAAUUUAUUAAAGAACAAGUUUGGAGGGAGUUAAGUUUAAAGAUCAAAGUCUAAUAUAUAUUCGUAAUAGAAAAUCAAAAAGUUUAAAGACUUAUUAGACACAAAAAUGAUCAAAGGUCACAGAACGACAACUAUUCGACAGUUUUUAAAGUUCACAUAGAUAUUAAACAUUAUCGACUUGUCGACAUCUCGAUUCUUUAUUCCAAAUAUCGUAAAAAAGAAGAUAUUAAACAUUACCGACUUGUCGACAUCUCGAUUCUUUAUUCCAAAUAUCGUAAAAAAGAAAAUUACGAGAGAAAAAGUGGAUAGAAGAGUACUUACAACCACAAUUUUAUUAUUAUUUAGAAGCAUUUAUGUUUGAAUGAGUGGGGGCAGAGUCAAAUUUUGUAAUCAAUUGGUUCACACUUUUGAGUAUUGAAUAUGUAAAAAAAAUGAGAAAAAAAUAAACAAAUAAUCUACUCUACUUUUUAGCUACCGACAUUUCAAUUAAAAUUAUUUAUGCCACUAUUUUUUUAGCAUAUGAUCAUGCUUUAUUAUAUACAUCAAAAUUAAUUCUUUAAUUUUAGUAUAUAUAUAUACACAUCAAAUAAAUACACCAUAAUUAUUAUUAUUAUUGAUAUGUAUUAUUGACUAUGUUUAACUAUUUCAAACUUUGAUUUAAAUUCAAUGUACAAUUGAAUAAUAAUAUAUACAAUGAAUGCUUAAUUUUCCUUUUUUUUUUUAAUAAUAUAUCUUCAAACAAAUAAAAUUAAUUUCAAUCAAAAUUGAUAUUAAGUUUAAUAACGUUAUGUCACAACAUUACAUGUGAAUAAGUAAAUCAUACAGAUAUAUCUACAUCAUUAUAACAUCUUCCAACCCAAUGUAGCAUAAUAUAAAAUUUAAUAAAUGAUUAAGCUCAAAGUAUUUAAACAAUUUAUAAUAGAUUUUCAAAAAAUUUAUUUCGUAUAAAUAGAUUAUAGAUUUUAGAAAUGUUUAAUAAAUAUUUUAGAUUUCUAUUUAUGAUUAAUAACUUAUAAUGUAUUUUUAUUAUUUUUAAAAUUGGUGAUCUAACUGAUACAAACAAUGAAUUAAAUAUUUUUCUAAAAUAUAUUUGUAGAUACAGUAAGGAAAUUUACUAAUGUUGAUAUCAUUAAAACUAUUUUUUAAUAUUACAAUUAUAGAGGUGAGGAAUUAGAUAAACUAUAUAUGAAAUAAUGAUCAGUGACGAUAUAUACAUUAAGAUUUUGGCCAUUAAAGUAAUUUCUAGAAGUGUUUGAUAGAAUUUUUCAACUUUUGUGUAUAGUAUAUAUUUUCUAAAACUUUUCCAACAUGAAAUUCUUUGUUCUUUUUAACCCAUAUAUAGAGAAUUUAGCUUUUGAGUGAUUUGACUUGAUGUGUGUAUAGUAGCUACGACUAAAACAUUAUCUCUAAAUUUAUUUCUUCAUCUUUUAUAGUUUACACUUUGUACGUGUCAUGUGCAACUUCCAUUGUUACCACUUAUAUUCAACAUAUUGUAAUAAUUAUUAUUAUUUUUCAUUUGUAUGGCUUUGUAGCAAACAUAAAAACUAUAAGUUAAAAUGAGAGAAAUAACUUAAGAUACUUAUAACUAAUCUAUUGGAAUUCAAAUACACAUUAAAGUUUUAUUUCAAAACAAGGAAGUGAACAUAAUUUUUCAAUUUCUAGUAGUAUCUUCCAUUCAAUUUUUUGAAAAUAAUUAUAUGACAUAUAAAAUAAUUAAAAGAAAACAGUUUUAUACCUAACAUGAUUUUUAAAAACGAGAAUAGUUAGGAAUAACAUAAAGAAAAUAAAAAUCUUUUACAAAGAUGAAUUUUACUAUAUAUUUUAAAAUAAUUUAAAUAAUUUGAAAUAAUUAUUGUAAUUUAAAAUAAAAUAUAAUUAUUUAAAAUAAAAGCAUAAAUUUAUUUUUUAAAAACACCAAUAAACAAUCAAAAAAGGUAGAUAGAGAAAUAUAGAAAUCUCCAAAACAUUUGAAAAAAUUGGUGAUUUAAAAAAAAAGUAAUAUUCUAAAAAAGAAAAAACAAAUAUCAAAUAGUCUAAACUCACGAACAUCACUUCUUAAAAAAAACAAAAAAAAAAAAAAAAAAGGAAAAGAGGAAAAGAGGAAAAGAAAAGAAAUAGUAAAAUUGAAAAAUAGAAAAUGGAAUUGAAUGGCGUUGGUUAUUUUCACGUGGGAAAAUGGAAAAUACGCAUGAUGCGACAUAAAGCUAAAACCCAAAAUAUAUUAAAAAGAAAUAAAAACUAAUAAUACAAAAUAUAAUUCUUUUCUAUAAGAAAAAAAUAAACAAAAACAAAACGUCGUUCUCAUGCCACGUUUCCUCAAAAAAACGUGCUCAAUAUAGCUUUAAAUAAUUAACCCCUAAACAAAUUUAAUUAAAGAAAACUAAUCUCCAAAUCUCAGCCAUUGCUUCCUCCAUCUAACCCUCUGACCCCACUCUACCUCUUAAAUCCAACGCUUACCCUUCACCUCCUCCACACACCAAACUUAGAUUUUUUUCUUCUUUUUUUUUUAAAUUUUGUAGAAGCCGUGUGGUUAUUAUUUAUUUUUAUAAAAAUGAAAAAUAUGAAGAUAACGAGGAAAUGGGGUCCACGUGGAAGACGAUUUUUUGGACGCCGAGUUUUUGGAUUUGGUCUUCCUUCGCAUCUCCUUCCUCGAACCUCUCUUCACUCGAUAUUAUUCACUUCGCUUCAACCGUCCUCUUACGUGGAUUUAUCCCCCUUUUUUUUACUUUUACUAUUUUUUUCUCUACAACUUCGAGUUUUAAUAAUUAAAACUUUGAAAUUUGGUAGGCAGUAAUUUUCGAUGUUACUUCCAAAGUUAAAAACUAAUUCCCUCCGUAAGUAUUUCUUUAUUAUAAAUUAAUACAUUUUAAUUAUAUUAACUAAGUUUGGCUUAUUACCUUUCUUAUUCUCUUAUUCUCGUACCUACAUAAUUCAUUUUUAAUAUACUAUAAAAGAAAUUUAGGUCAAUGAUAAAAAAUAACAAAUUUAACAAAAUAUUUACAUCAAAAUUUCCAGUUUCUUUCCAUAAUACUUUAUAAAUUUAUAAAUUUUAUCAGUGAUAUCAUGAAUAGAAUUCAAAAUUCUGCCAUAUGCUAUAAAUAUUUUAAUUUAUUUUGCUAUUUUUAAAAAUAUCUAUAUUUUUAUGAUUUGAAUUCAAAUUUUAUUUUAAUUAUUUAAUAAAAGUUCAGAGUUUUCUUUAAUAAAAAGUUAAAUCAAUUAAAAUAAAAAAUGAAAUGUUUUCAAAUAUAUAAAAAUUGAAACUAUUUAGCAAAAUCUAUUAAAUUCUUUUUGCAAAAUGUUGGUUUUUUUUUUAAAAAAAUAAUUUCCAUUUUUUUUUCUAUCUAUCGGUAAGAAUUAUCGAUUAAAGUAUAAAAUCUUAUUUUAAUAAUAGAAAAAUUAAAGGAUAGUUUAUUAUUGUUUUUUUUUUCUUUUUUGAAUAAGUGAGACUAUUACUUUAUUUUGAGUAAAGUGGGAAAAUAAAUAUUUGAGCAGAAAAUUUGGUAACUUUCAAAAAAGCAUUUGUCCCCUUUUCUCUUUCUCAUAUUUUGGUGAUAUUUUGUUGUUUCUCUCUCUCUCUCUCACUCAUUCCUUAAUUAUUUUAUUGCAUAUUUUCAACGUAUUUUUAUAAAAUUGUAAUUUGAUGAUUUGAUUUUUUAAAUGAAAAAAAAAUUGUGCAAUUUUAAGAAUUGAUAUAGUUUAGAUUAAAGCAGUAAUGAAAAAAAGAUACUGAGAUGAAAACUCAAAUAAACCUGUUUGGUAUCAAUAAAGGUUGAGAUUGAGCUAGGAAUAUGACAUGCAUACAACCCACUUGCUUGAGGGGAGACAAAACUUUGGACCAAAUGUUCAAAUAUGACCUAAUUAAUUUGUACCUUGGUCGAGUCAUAGCCACCUUUAAUUAACUAAGACAUGUUAAACGCAUAGGAUAAUCCAUUAAGAAUGAGAAUAAACCUAAUCCGACUCUUUGAAGGCUUUAAUUAGUUACAAAUUCAAAGUGUGCCGUGAAGUUUAAAUCAUUUUUUUUUUGUACCUGCUUUGUUUCUUUCUUUUCUAUUUUUACAACAUCUGCUUUGGCUGCUUUAACAUUAACAAUAUACAAUAUACAAUUUUGUAUAAAAAAUUCCUACAGCGUUAUUAUUAUUUUUCUUAAAAUAAAUAUCAUUAUUGUAAAUUUUUAAAUUUGAGGCGUCAUAAAGUUAGUUUAUAUGUGAGAGGUAUCUUGUUGAAUUUUUUAAGUUUUUAAAAUUUUUUAUUCAAUAAAGUUCUAAAAUUUGCUCUAUUUUUUUUCUGUUUGGCAUCCAACUGUAGACAUACUUUUUCAAAAUUUUAACACUCGGUUUGGUAUUUGAAUUUAAUUAAAUAAAGCUAUACUCAACAAAAAAAUAUAUUGUUUUUUAAAGUAGUUAAUUAAGUUGGUUAAUACCAUAAAGUAAGCACAAAGCAAUAUGUGACAAAUAAGUGAUAAAUAAGUAAUUUGUCUUACGGGUAUUUGUGACAAAUAAGUUUAUAAGGAUAACUCAACCAUCUUAGACAACCUAUCAACAUCAACUUGCCUAAGGUGAAUGUUAAUAUUGAUUGUUAGGGGUGAGUGUCACUUGCCAUUGAAGUUGAUUAUCAAAGGUGAUUUUCAUUGCAGUUUAUCAUAUAAGCAGUAGUUGGAGUCUGAAAUUGAAGGUGGUUAUCGAAGUUGAUAAUCAAAAAGUGAUUUUCUCAAAGUUUGUAGUCAUAGCUUGGAAUUCAUCGUGUAAACGUGGUCAUCAAAGUUGGCUUUUUUUGGAGUUUCCUAUUGGAGAUAGUUACCAUAGCCCAAAAUUAGUUGUUGGAGGUGGUCACAUAAAGGUAUCUAGUCGUUAGGUCAGUUUGUCAUCGAAGGUGGUUGCCAGACCUUGAAAUCGAUCAUCAAAGUUGGUUAUCUGAGUGUGGUAAUGGUAAUUGAUCGUUGAAUCUAUUAGAAAAACUGGAGAGAGCUUCAUCAACCUAUAAAGUUAGUGGACCAAAGAGAACUCAAACUCAACUUAUAUUUUGAUGUGUUAACUCCCCUAAAAUAAAACAAACGAAACAAAAAAAAAAAAUCAUAAAGACAAAAAUGAAAAAAUGGAGUACCAUCAUUGUACUAAAAAAAUAUAUUUUAACAAAAGAAAAAAUCAAUGACUACAAAUAAAUUUUAAAACACUAGAUUUAAAAAAAAAAAUCAAAGAACAAAAAUAGAAGAUAUUUAUAUAUAUAUAUAUUUAAAAAAGAAAAUUAAUAGAUAUUAUAAUGAGGCUUAGUAUUUUCAAAAUCCUGUUUUAGGGCAAAAAAAAGAGGGGAAAAAUAAAACAACUUCCGUCUUUGAUUCACAAACAAGAGACGUGUCAUGUUCUCAUUAGCUAAAACCGGAAAAAAAGCGAUGAGUAAAAAAGUCAUAAAAACGGUUAACCCUCAACGCCUCUCAAGGGUUCUUCACGUGCCAGUCACGUGGAAGGAAGGGAAGCGAACCGGGUCUAAGAAAACCGCACUAUCUGGGGUAAGUACUAUUAGUAUAAUUGUACUAUAAGCGCGGAGUUGAGAAAGACGCCGGCUUUUUGAACGAUUUAAUCGGCGAUCUAAAGAAGAAGCCUCUUGGUUCCUUCUUCUCCUCUUCGCUUCUCUGUUAAAUGUUCAUCACAAAUAAAUCCCAUACCAAUCGCCCGACAUUUCUCUCACUCCACAAUCGGAGACCAAAGAUUAUUCCUUUUUUCCCAUUUCUAUUUCUUCCAAUCUCAAUCGCAUGACGGAUUAUCGUUUGUCGACGAUGAAUCUCUGGACUGACGAGAACGCGUCGGUUAUGGACGCUUUCAUGAAUUCCGAUCUGUCUUCCUACUGGGCUCCGUCAGCCGCCUCCUCUCACUCUCUUCACCACCCACCGCCACCUCAGUCCUCCGCCUCCACAUCCACUCCCCCGCCGGACGCACCUAAGUCCCUCCCCGUUUUCAAUCAGGAGACUCUGCAGCAGCGGCUCCAGGCGCUGAUCGACGGUGCUAGGGAGAGUUGGACUUAUGCGAUUUUCUGGCAGUCGUCUUAUGAUUAUUCUGGUGGGUCUGUUUUGGGGUGGGGUGAUGGGUAUUACAAAGGAGAGGAAGAUAAAGGAAAGGGAAAAGCGAAAAUGGUGUCGUCAGCGGCGGAGCAGGCUCACCGGAAGAAGGUUUUACGGGAGCUUAACUCUUUGAUUUCUGGCUCUGCCGCCGGACCUGACGAUGCGGUGGAUGAGGAGGUUACGGAUACGGAGUGGUUCUUUUUGGUUUCGAUGACUCAGUCGUUUGUUAAUGGUGUUGGGUUACCGAGUCAAGCGUUUUACCACUCGACGCCGAUUUGGGUCUCUGGUGCCGAUCGGCUGUCGGCGUCUGCCUGUGAACGAGCUAGACAGGGGAGGGUUUUUGGGUUACAGACGAUGGUCUGUAUUCCAUCGCCUAACGGUGUUGUGGAAAUGGGUUCGACGGAAUUGAUUCAUCGAACGUCGGAUUUGAUGAAUAAGGUCAAGAUUCUGUUCAAUUUCAACAAUCUCGAAACGAGUUCUUGGAUUUCGGGAACUACCGCCGCCGCAUCCGCUGCCGACGAAGGGGAAAACGACCCGUCGUCGAUGUGGAUCAGUGAGCCAUCGAGUACAAUCGAGAUGAAGGAUUCAAUCACCACCACUGUUCCUUCCAGCAACGUUCCGGCAAAGCCAAUCCGUUCGGAAAAUCCCAGUACAAGUAGCUUAACGGAAAAUAUGAGCACGAUUCAACAAUCCCAUCAUAAACAGAGCCAAAGCUUCUU
This 56732-nucleotide long non-coding RNA is filed under the name Cucumis sativus (cucumber). RNAcentral describes it as "long non-coding RNA (CSAT_LNC000826)". The stretch from base 12771 to 12842 matches the Rfam family "tRNA". The record is from RNAcentral. Lineage: Eukaryota; Viridiplantae; Streptophyta; Magnoliopsida; Cucurbitales; Cucurbitaceae.